UUUUUUUUUCUUUCUGAAAAUGGCUAGCCUAGUUUUUUGGUGAUUUGCCAACUAAGUCGCUUUGUCAGGCCUAUUGGGCUGCAAAUCUUACAAGACGAGGAGAGCUUCAUUCGGCUGGCCGAGAAAAUGGUCUAUUAAUAAUGAGAAAUAGGCUGUACAUUUUUAAAACACAUCAAACCGGCAAUUAGUUUCAAAUUUCUUUUUUUUCAUUUCGAGAAUUAAAUUGCAUUGAUUUUUAUGUGUGGACAAUUUAUUGGAUUUUAUAUUGAUAUACAUUUAUUUUUAAAAUCAGUUUGAAUGUGACUCGAAAUUUCAGGAUUACAAAUAGUUUGGACCGCACCGAAAUAUGCAAAAUUUCGUAUAAUUUUUUAACCAUGGCCACAAUAUAGGCUGUAAUGCUAACAAAAAGAAUAUGGGCUAAGUCCCCGAUCUAGCCGAGAUGACGGAGCGGGUCAGUAAGAAGACGUUGCAGCUAUCAUGUUAGCCGAGGUAUUAAAGCAGUUCGGCGUGAUGGACAUCGGCUUGAAAAAGCAACAGUGCGGCCAUGCCGACGUUGGUCAUAACUUGUGAUGCGGUCAAUGCCAGAUUGAUGAAGUGACCGAGAGGCGAUGUCGGUGCGCCUGACACGUGCAAUCCGUGGGGUGAUGAUGUUGGUGAUGAUUUAUCCUUCGCGAUGUCGAACUCUUGUUCGGCUAGCCGAGCUGAUGAUCCGAUAAGGUUAGGCUCGUCUCGAUGAAGCGAUGAUCUGUCUUGCGCAGGUCGGCAGACGUGGAGCAAUGUUACCAGACUGGUGUGACACUAGUGCGAUGGUGAAGAGUGCCUCAAAGAAGGCUUAAAAUUUAAUGAGCACGUGCUAAAAACAACGCACAAUACCAUAGAAGAAAAUUCCUUUCAAAAUGUUGUCCAAUAUCACAUUCAUAAAGAAACAUGAAUUCUGGUCGGAUCUGUAUUUGCGCAGAAAACAGGUCCGAAAAGUGAUGCACUAAUCGGAAGGUUCCCGGAGUUUGGACGGUCCGAUCGAGCUGAAAUUUUGAAGGGUGGUAGAUAUAGGAAUUCUGCAGCCGGUCAACGGUUGGAUCUUCCAAAGGACAUCCGAGCUAGGUUCUGGAGACCACGCCCUAGACUCGUCCAGAUUCCCGUCCAGAUUUGACACGGCUUUGGUAUAUCGUUGAUUGCCAGAGAUUCCUCCAUCGGAACUCGACGAAAUUUUGCAUGAUUGUUGUAGAGUCAAUUCCGCACAAUUCCACCAAAAGAAUCAUCAAAGCGAUGCUUUAGGAGGUGGUGGCAGCGGAUACAAGUUCGCUGUUCGAAAAAAUAGCAUGGUCGCCUGAGGGAAAUGUUAACGUUGAGCCCCCGAGCUCCAUGGAUGAUUCCUCCAUGAUCUUGAUAGAGGUCGGAGUUGAUGUUGAUGAAGGCCACCAUCCGAACAUGACGAUCGGAGAUGGAGCACGGUCCUCGAUCGAGUCAAGGUGACCAGUCGAGCCAGCGAUGAAGAUGCUGGCAUCGCAGUUAAUCUGCGGGCGAGCCAUUGAUCCUUUGUCGAUCACACAAUGGAACUCUCAAUGAAAGCACCAUUGUCAGUGUCAAAACUGGCAGAUCUCGGGUAGGGGGUCCCGAACUGUGCGUCUAAGGAUCGAUGGUAAUAGAAGACAGGGGACACGAUGUUUACCCAGGUUCGGGCCCUCUUGAUGGAGGUAAUACCCUACUUCCUGCUUGAUUGACUUUGAUGAGUAUAGGGGUUACAAGAGUUGAUCUACCUCGAGAUCGUAUAUUGUGGUCUAAACCCUACAGGAAUGACGAAUAAUAUCAUAAUAAUCUACCGACUAGCCUGGCCUCGUCUUAUAUAAUGUACCAGAGGCCUAGGAUAACAAGACUCCUAGUCGAAUACGCCGGUGGAGAGGAGUCCUUGUCUUGAUCACCAAGUCUUGUGGAAUCUUCCUCGUGUAUACAUUGGCUGACCGAACUGGGCCAUGAGCAUAUGGCCAUGGGGGUCCUCGGCCCAAUCCAACUGAUUGGGAGAUGACGUGGUGAGUACCCCCUAGUCCAGGAUACCGUCAAUAGCCCCUGCACCGUCAACCUAUGGAGCUCAGCCCACUCGGCCAUUUGCUCAUUUAACAGUAGCGGACGCGUUGGAGCACUGAACUGCGACCAGAACAACUUCUCCACUUCCUGAUCUUUUUGAUCUUUAAAAAAUGCAGUCGCAUCAGAAGCACUCAUUGCCAAGUCCGAAUACGUGUCUGCAGCACUCCAUAAUUGAUCCAGAGGGGCAUACUUCGGAUCUCCGAACUUCGUUCGCAACAAAAAGGGCUUCCCAGCCGUAAUAUCUCCGGCUUGACGAAGCUCCUCCUUCGCUGCUCUGAUUUUAGAGCGGGUCUCCUUGGCUGCUACCAUGGCCUUAUCUAGGUCCACCACUUUCGCUUGGCUUUCCUUUUCAAGAAGCUCAUACCGGUUGGUGGCAUCCUUCAGCUCAACAGCCAUCUUGGCUAUUUUAUCUUCGCUCUGGCGAUGAGUAGCCCGUUCGGCUCUUAACUCUUCGGCCGCCUUUAGGGCGGCCGCAUCACUUCUCCUGGCUUGUUCCUUGGCUCGGGCAAGCUCGGCCCGAAGGGUCUCCACGGCGGUAGCUUCACCUGCAGUCACAACAUGUUAUAGAUACUAGCAUCAUGCUCCUCUUAAUAUCUGUUGACCACCGGAGAAUACAUACCCUGUGCCUGAAAGCACAAGUGCUCCCUAGGUGGUUUUGGUAAUUAAAGUCAACAUAUCUCUUGUUGGACUAACAUUUUUAUCUAGUAUAUUUCAGAUAAGUUCAACAGUGAAGUGGCAUGGACUAAAGGAUGUGAAACCCCUUCAAAAUGCUAAGGACAAAGGAUUGGCUCAAGCUCAAAGCUCAACACUCUACAUUUUCUUUUUAGUGAUCCAAGAUCACAUUGAGUCUAUAGGAAAAGCCAAUACUAUCAAGGAGGGAUGAGGUGUUGCUUAAUGAGGUUCUAGCUCAAAAUGCUUAGUGAUAUGCUCCAAAACCCUCAACUACUUUCUCACAUCCACAUAUGACCUAAACCAAAAGUCAAACUCGGACCAACCGAUUCUUCCUAUCCGGCGCCACCGAGUUUCAAAUGUCAUAGCCACUGCCACAAACCCUAGGCAAAUCGGUCUCACCGACAGGGAUCUCGGUCUCACCGAGAUGGGAUUGCAAACUCUCUGUUGCCUAUUUCAAUACUUUCGGUCUCACCGAGUUUGUGUAAUCGGUCUCACCGAGAUUACGUUAUGCCCUAACCCUAAUCAUAUCGGUCCUACCGAGUUGCAUGUCGGUCCCACCAAAAACCCUAACGGUCACUAGCUUUGCUAAAUCGGUCCGACCGAGUUUAACCAUUCGGUCCCACUGAGUUUGGGAAGUUAUGUGUAACAGUUAGAUUUUGUGUGGAGGCUAUAAAUACCCCUCCACCUCCUCUUCAUUUGUGGAGAGAUCCAUCAGAACAAACCUACACUUCCAACCUAUAUUUUCUGAGAGAGAACCACCUACACAUGUGUUGAGACCAAGAUAUUCCAUUCCUACCAUAUGAAUCUUGAUCUCUAGCCUUCCCCAAGUUGCUUUCCACUCAAAUCUUCUUUCCACCAAAUCCAAAUCCUAUGAGAGAGAGUUGAGUGUUGGGGAGACUAUCAUUUGAAGCACAAGAGCAAGGAGUUCAUCAUCAACACACCAUUUGUUACUUCUUGGAGAGUGGUGUCUCCUAGAUUGGCUAGGUGUCACUUGGGAGCCUCCGACAAGAUUGUGGAGUUGAACCAAGGAGUUUGUAAGGGCAAGGAGAUCGCCUACUUCAUGAAGAUCUACCGCUAGUGAGGCAAGUCCUUCGUGGGUGAUGGCCAUGGUGGGAUAGACAAGGUUGCUUCUUCGUGGACCCUUCGUGGGUGGAGCCCUCCGUGGACUCGCGCAACCGUUACCCUUCGUGGGUUGAAGUCUCCAUGAACGUGGAUGUACGAUAGCACCACCUAUCGGAACCACGUCUCAAAAAUCUCCGUGUCUCCAAUUGCGUUUGAAUCUUCCAAACCCUUCCCUUUACAUUCUUGCAAGUUGCAUGCUUCACUUUCCGCUGCUCAUAUACUCUUUGCAUGCUUGCUUGAUAUGUAUUGUGUGUGUUAAACUUGCGCCAAAACUCCACUUCAACCUAAAGAAUUUAAAAACUGCAACUUUUGGUACUUAGUGUCUNNNNNNNNNNNNNNNNNNNNNNNNNNNNNNNNNNNNNNNNNNNNNNNNNNNNNNNNNNNNNNNNNNNNNNNNNNNNNNNNNNNNNNNNNNNNNNNNNNNNNNNNNNNNNNNNNNNNNNNNNNNNNNNNNNNNNNNNNNNNNNNNNNNNNNNNNNNNNNNNNNNNNNNNNNNNNNNNNNNNNNNNNNNNNNNNNNNNNNNNNNNNNNNNNNNNNNNNNNNNNNNNNNNNNNNNNNNNNNNNNNNNNNNNNNNNNNNNNNNNNNNNNNNNNNNNNNNNNNNNNNNNNNNNNNNNNNNNNNNNNNNNNNNNNNNNNNNNNNNNNNNNGUCCUUUUAGUGCCUUGUCAAGCCGCUUGUUCACAAGCACGAUGCCGGCAUCUGCCGUAUCAAGCUGCCGCCUCAGUUCAGCAAAAUCACCAGUCCGGCCAGCCACCGGACACUCAGCCGCCUGCACAUGUGAGCAGCAUGAUCAUUACCUGGGACUAUGAUCCUUUGUUUGCCGCCUCUGGACAGCAACCAGAGUCUCAGGGGCUACUAUCUGUAUAGAGCACACCUAGCGUGUGCGGUACCGUCAAAAAAAUUUAUAUAUUACUUUGCGUACCUCAAAGCCUCUUAGCAGGCUCAUAAAAGCUUCAUGCAACCCACUUUUGGCGGAUGAGAUCCUCUCAACCACCGUACCCAUUAAAGUACGAUGCUCUUUCGAGAUAGCCGCUUGCUCCAGAAGACCCAUCAGCACGUCUGGUUGUGCACAGGACAAUCCUAGACUCUUUUCGCUGAUCUCCUUAGGAGCCGAAUACUCCGGACUUCGGGUGGCCGAAGGGUUACCUUCUGGCCCUGGUGGAUCAGGAGAAAUCCUCCGUGAUGACACCUUAGGGUCGUCCGCCCCAGGAGACUGGGAGGCAGGGGAGGCGUUUUGCUCUCCAUCAUCUCUGGAAGAAGAUCCCCCGAAGACGAACUCUGUCGAGAAGGGCUACGAUCCAGACUGCAAGACAUAUGUCUCGGUUAUUUUCCUCGAAGAUAAAGCAUGAUAUAUUUAUCAAAGGUAUUUUGGUUCACUUAUAGCUCAGUGGAGGGCUGAUCCCCUUGUGGGCACUGUGCGGCAAGGAUGCCCUCCGGGGCAGGGCCCCUGGCGAAAGAUUCUUCCCUCGUUUGGAAACCCUCGUUUCCAAGUCCUCAGAUGCGGUCCUCUUCUUUCCUUGGGGAGAGGGAACUUUAGAUUCUUCUCCCCGGUUAUCCUCCUUCACGGAGACACUAAUUCCCCCGGUUUGGAUGAGUAAUGCGUGAGGCCCGCUUUCGGCUUCCUUAUCCCUCCCUUUAUCUUCCCCUGAUGGCACUUGGUAAGGCACGAGCUCAAGCAUCCUGGCUAGUACAGGAUCAGGUGAGCCUUCGGGAAGGGGGGCCGAACACCUAAUCAUCUUCGCCUUUCUUAUCCAGUCCUGGCCAAGAUCGAUUUUUUCAGAAUGAUGUUAUGACAAAUGAAAAGACGACAUGUUCGGCCGCAGAAUUACUUACAUGGGUAUCUGGAAGAUUGCAGUUUAGACCCGCAUCCUUGGUGCUGUCCGGACACUUUAUUCGUGAUCCGAAGAACAAUCCAUACAUCCCUUCGAGCGUCAUGCCGAAGAGCUGCUGAAUAGUUCAUGGUCCUUCCGGGUUGAACUCCCACAUACAGAGAGAUCAUCGUUGGCAUGGCAGGACCCGACGAACUAGCAUAACUUGCAUUACCUUGACGAGACUGACGUCCCUCUUGAGGAGAUCUCGGAUGCCACUUUGCAAUGUCGGCACGUCAUUAACUGGCCCCCAGUCCAGCCCCUUGUUGAGCCAUGAUGCCAGUUAUGGCAGGGGGGCAAAUGGAAGGUGGGGGCAGCUACCCACUUAGUACUUCGGGGAGCUGUGAUGUAAAACCACUCCCGCUGCCAUAAGUUUGACACCUUCGGGAAGGGACCCUUUGGCCAUGGAGCAUCGACGCCUUUGCUUAUUGUGGCACCUCAGCAUUUUGCGUGUCACCCAUCGAUCAUCUUCGGCUUCACAUCGAAGGUCUUGAGCCAUAAGCCGAAGUGUGGGUGAUGCGGAGGAAGGCCUCACACACAACGAUAAACGACGAGAUGUGAAGGGUGGAAUCCGGGGCUAGAUCGUGGAAAUCGAGCCCAUAAUAGAACAUAAGUCCUCUGACAAAGGGAUCAAGACUAAAGCCUAGCCCUCAGAGGAAGUGGGAAACAAAUACGACGCUCUCGUUGGGUUCGGGAGUGGGGAUGACCUGCCCCUGAGCAGGCAGCCUGUGCGAGAUUUCGGCGGUCAGGUACUUGGCUUCCCUUAGCUUCUUGAUGCCCCCUCUGUGACAAAGAAGGCCAUCCACCGACCUUGAAGGUUGGAUCCGGACAUGGUUGAAGGUCCGAAGCGCUUAGCCUUAGCCUUGGGUGUUGGAAGUCGAGGUGGGGGAGGGGAAGGAUCGAGCGCCAGAAGAAAAGGACAGGCCUUGGCCCCUUUAUAAAGAGGGCGACUAUCAAGCGUCCUCCGCGUGCCCGUUUGAAACUUGCCUAAAAUCGAGGAGUCAUACCAGCGGGUGCGGUUGGGUUACCCACACCCGUAUUGAUGAGAAUCAUGUGAUAAGGGGACACGAUCUCUGCUUUGACAAGACGUGCCGAGAAAACCGCCUCGCAAUAUGUGUAGUAGCUAGUUGAGAAAAACGGUUCGAAUAAUGACCGGGCCAUGGUGUGAUGUCACGUUAUGAAAAGUUUUCAGCAGAUUAGAUUUGUGGAAAUAUUAUACUCUCUACGUUGGUAUGUGGAAUUUGUUUGGCAGAGCCGGACACUAUCCUUGUGUUCAAAAUCUUCUAUGGAGUAUUCAGAGAAGGAACCCGCCUUGCAAUGUCGAAGACAAAUCUACGCGGCGGACUCAUCAUCAUUCAAGCCUGGUUCAAGGGCUACUGAGGGAGUCCUGGAUUGGGGGGUCCUCGGGCAGCCGUACUAUAUCCUUUGGCCGGACUGUUGGACUAUGAAGAUACAAGAUUGAAGACUUCGUCCCGUGUCUGGGUGGGACUCUUCUUUGCGUGGAAGGCAAGCUUGGCAAUUCGGAUAUGUAGAUCUCCUCCCUUGUAACCUACUCUGUGUAACCCUAGCCCCCUCCGGUGUCUAUAUAAACUGGAGGGUUUAGUCCAUAGGACAACAACAAUCAUAAUCAUAGGAUAGCUUCUAGGGUUUAGCCUCUACGAUCUCGUGGUAGAUCAACUCUUGUAAUACUCAUAUCAUCAAGAUCAAUCAAGCAGGAAGUAGGGUAUUACCUCCAUCUAGAGGGCCCGAACCUGGGUAAACAUUGUGUCCCCUUCCUCCUGUUACCAUCCGCCUUAGACGCACAGUUCGGGACCCCAUACCCGAGAUCCGCCGGUUUUGACACCGACAACCACCCCGACUACGGGCCGAUUUUUUGGUCAAUAUUUUUGAUUGGUGCAAUUUAUUCUCUGCCGAGAUAUAUAGCCAGUAGCCCUCAAGGUGUGUAUCGGUGUAAAACCCGAGAUGCACCUGAAGGAUGACAUAAGACCGCUAAUCCAAGUAGCCCCUGAGACUCAGGUUGAUUCACAAAUUCAGCCUGAGGAUCAACUCCUAGCUCGGCGGAACACUUCGGGACACAAAAAGUGGUGUGCAAAUUCCUCGAGACUCAGGUUGGGUGCGGUCGACCAACCUGAGGAUCAUAAUCUCCUCGAAAGCUAUAUUGCACUUUAAAUUUUUUGCAUAGUUUGUCAAUGCAGUAGCCCCCGAGACACUGAUCGGGUGUCAACACCAGAUCAGGGGAUCGAUACGCCCCUUUCAAUAUUAGUGAAUGAUAAGCCCGAAGCCCAGUAGCCCGCGAGCCAUAAUGUGGGCACGGGUGGCCGAAUUAAGGAUCGAUAUCCAGAGUAAAACCACAAAUUAUGUGUAAUGAUUCUACGUAUCCAAGUACUUUACAUCAUUAAUGCUCGGAUCCGCAUUGUACAAAACUUUGUUGACCGACCAUCGGCUUCAACCUCCUCGGCCAAAAGCCGGGGAGUGUUUGUCCUACUUUAUAAAGCCGUUAUAAGGGCAAAGAUUUAUGGAAAACAAGGCAAUCCGGUCUUACGGUUUUAUAAACAACGGUACGCUGAGAGAUAUGUUAUAUUACUUGAUAUAAGGAACAUCUUCAAAGGAAAAUAUUCCCGCUAUCGAUUCCUUUCUUUGGGUCGUCAUGCUUAUCAUGAUCAUGAAACCUCACCUCCGAUCAAUGUGGGAGGAAAAUAUUGAGGAUUUAGUUCGGGGAAAGUUCCCGAACUCUAUGGUAUUAAUGAACCAAAAAUUUUACUUCCGUCGUUGCCGACCAAUGUGAUCCUUUAAGAUCGCUAGCUUUCGGCUCCACCAAGUCUGAGGUACUAACUUGGAUGACCCGGUAGUAACAAUCAUAGAGGUGCUCCCUUUACCGUCUAGCCGAACAAUCGGGAACGUAGGGGUAAGCACAGGAGCUAGGCAACCCAGCUUGGCAAAAAUCUUAAGUCAAAUUGAUGCAUAUUUAUGGCUUUAUAACGAUGAUUAUGGAAGGAAGCCCUUGUAUGUUAAAUACAAAUGAUGAUGAUAUGUUUAUUUUGACUCCGUUACGACCGUUUAUCAGUUGAAAGUGGACCAUCGUCGGCUUGUAUCCCUUUGUAGAUACUACGCAGGGUGUCUCCGCAAUAACAAGACAACCCUUAGCCGAUGUCUCGGUGCCCGAAGGCGGUUGUGUUAGCGGAAAUGAGGCAAUCAGAUAUGCGGGCUUUAUAACUUUCACUUAGUCAUAGGAGCUUUAAAAUGGGGAAGCUAGCUAUGAGCCCCCAGUUAGUCUUCGGCGACAUCCGAGGUCAAGCCGUAAACACUUCGGCCAAUGUUAUGAACGGCCCGUCAUUUAACACAGUCAUCGGAUCACUGACCAGUUUACGCUUAUUGUGAUAGUCAGUUUUCAGCUUUCUCCACUGAGAUGCUUAACCAUGUGAGCUGGAAGCACAAUCGCAGUAGUUCUCCCUUUGCACACCUAGCCGAACAAAGCAGAACGUAGGAGGCAAGCGCAGGAGCUUGGCAACCCAACUAUUGACCGAAGACACAAUUCGAAACCGAUGCAUAUUUAGAAAUAUCCGAGAAUGUUUUUGCCGAAUCUCUAAAGGUGUUCGGCGUUGCACUACGAGACUUGUGUUGAAACACACAAAUAGUUUAAAAGUGCCAUAAGCUUGGAAAACCAAAAAACGUCAGUAAAAACUUGACGUCUGAACAAGAUCAAGUGUUCGGUGCCAAUCCGAAAAUUGGAAAAAAAGAAAGAAAAAAUGUGCUUCUGUCGUGCUUUAGCAUGACACACCCGGUCUCAACACUUCAAGCGGGCCAGCUUACGGCUUCGAGCUCCUUAUCCCAAAGGCGGAGUACUUCUUCGAGGCCAGUUUAGCGAAUUAAACUCGAGCGGCUUUUUAGAGAGAAGACAGGCUAUCCGGCUAUUGACCAUGCACUCGAGUUGAAAAAGGAGCGGUAGAAAAAGACUUUGCAACAACCAAGAAGAAAACACAUUUACUAUAAAAAAACUCAUAUAAAUUUUAAGAGCCCCCAAGUGACUUGGGUAAAAGAAUUUUAUGUAUAAUGAUUGUAUGUACCGAUGUAUUUAUAUCAUAUCUGUGUUCACCCGAACUUUAAACGUGUCUUAACUGACCGUCGGCUUCUCCCUCUUUGGUCAAGGACCAAAAGUAUCAUGUACUCCACCUAUCGAAAGUAUCGACAGUGUUUCCGAUAACCAGGCAAUCAGGCCAUAAGGCUAUAACAGACAUAGCGCGCUCAGGGAACUUAUGCUAUAUUACUGACAAAGUGUAUGAAGCAUCUUCGAAGAAAACAGUACCUCCACCGAUACCUUUCUUCGGUUGCUCAUUGUUACUAUGAGAAUUGUGCAAUAGAUUUUUUGUACUCAUGAGUUCCGUUGUGUGCCAACCAUUAUUGCAAACAAUAAGAGCGCUAGCUUUUGGCUUCACCCAGUCUGAGGUACUAACUCGGAUGACCCGGUAGCAACAAUCAUAGAGGUGCUCCCUUUACUGCCUAGCCGAACAAUCAGGAACGUAGGGGUAAGCACAGGAGCCAGGCAACCCAGCUUGCGAAACACUUAAGUCAACAUGGUGCAUAUUGUGGCAUAAUACAUGAACAAGGAACGAAGUCGUACAAGUAUAAUCAUAUGCAAGAGGAAAGGCUUCAUAAAGGAAGCCCCCAAGUAAAUGGGGUAUUUGAAUUUGCUUGCAACAAACAAGGUUUUGACAAAGAAAGUUUUUCGCAAAUGACUUUUUGUCAAAAAAGCAUAAUGCUUGGUCGAACCGAACAAAAUUUAAAACUAAAGGUUUUUAAGCAUGGAAGCUACUUAGCUGGUUAAUGUGCUCGGUGUCGAUGCACGGCCCGAGCUUAUGGCGGGACAAGGUCCCAGCCCCCAAGCCGGUCCCGAGGUGGCGGAGUGAAGAGCUCGGCACUCCGAAGUGGCGACAUAGCACGGCUAAUGCAGGCCGGCCGUGAGACGUUGAAGUCCCCGGCAUGGCUUAAUGAAGUAAUGACGAAGCCUCGGUCCAGCCGAGGUGAAGUGGUAUGUCGAUACGCCAAGGUGACAGUGCUGCCCGACCCGGAUCCUUUACCUGUGAACAGAAAAUAGUGCAAGCCGGAGAUAAUAGGAAUAAUAAUAAUAAUAAUUGAUGCAUAAUUAAUAAUUUACGCAAAGUGAGUAAUAAAAGAAAUAUGGCCCGUGUGCUAAACACUCGAUGAGGUAGAGCUCUCUCAGUGAUACCGAAGUCCCCGAGGCAACCAAACAUGUCGCUAUGGCGAUUCGACGAACAAGGUGAUCACGCGAGUCGAUUGAGACAACAACGUCGGCUUGCCAAAGUGACCGCGGACGCAGUCGAAGUCGAUCACCUACACACAUAAAAUAGUGCGGUCCAAAAAGAAUAAUUGCUUUUCGCAAAAAUAAUUUAUUAAAAGAGAUGUGGCCUGGCACCAAAGUCAUGUCGAUGCAGGGCGUCGGCGUGACGCGGUGAAGGCGUGGCCAAGCCUGAAUUCGCAGGUCGGUCUGAGUUCCAGAUGCGGCAUUCGCCGAACUGUAUACGGAAACUGACCGAACCACCACGCGACGGUUGUUAAUGCGGCCACCAUUUGAUAGACCUGUGUACAGAUGAUGAAACAAACCAGAGUAAUAAUUCCUUUAGAAAAAUAAACCCAAGCAAGAAAAAAUACUAGGAUUAAUAGCACAUGGUUUAUCUGUUGUAGCAAUCUGAAGAAAGGCUACUCCCAAAAUUGGGACUCGAUGUGCACACCCAUUGCCUGAUGGGCGAUAAAGCGAUGGCAUGGCGAUGCUGGCAAAGGUGGGCUCGCCGAGGCAAAGCCCUCGGUCCAGCUAACGUGACGAAGCUGGUCGACUGGUGAUGCCGAAGUCACCGGAGUAUGUUGAUGAAGAAAUAGCAAAGUCUCCGGUCUAGCCGAGAUGACGGAGCAGGUCAGUAAGAAGACAUUGCAGCUGCCAUGUUAGCCGAGGUGUUGAAGCAGUUUAGCAUGAUGGACAUCAGCUUGAAAAAGCAACAGUGUGGCCAUGCCGACGCUGGUCAUAACUUGUGAUGCGGUUAAUGUCGGAUUGAUGAAGUGACCGAGCGGUGAUGUCGGUGCGCCUGACCCGUGCAAUCCGUGGGGCGAUGGUGUUGGUGAUGAUUUAUCCUUCACGAUGACGAACUCUUGUUUGGCUUGCUGAACUGAUGAUCUGAUAAGGUUAGGCUCGACUCGAUGAAGCGACGAUCUGUUUAGCGCAGGUCGGCAGACGUGGAGCAAUGUUACCGGACUGGUGUGACACCAGCGCGAUGGUGAAGAGUGACUCAAAGAAGGCUUAAACUUUUAUGAGCACGUGCUAAAAGCAACGCACAAUACCAUAGAAGAAAAUUCCUUUAAAAGGUUGUCCAAUAUCACGUUCAUAAAGAAACAUGAAUUCUAGUCGAAUCUGUAUUCGCGCAGAAAACCGGUCCGAAAAGUGAUGCACUAAUCGGAAGGUUCCUGGAGUUUGGACGGUCCAAUCAAGCUGAAAUUUUGAAGGGUGGUAGAUAUAGGAAUUCUGCAGCCGGUCAAUGGUUGGAUCUUCCAAAGGACGUCCGAGCUAGGUGCUGGAGACCACGCCCUAGACUCGUCCAGAUUCCCGUCCAGAUUUGACACGGCUCUGGUAUAUCGUUGAUUGCCGGAGAUUCCUCCAUCGGAACUCGACGAAAUUUUGCAUGGUUGUUGUAGAGUCAAUUCCGCACAAUUCCACCAAAAGAAUCGUCAAAGCGAUGCUUUAGGAGGUGGUGGCAGCGGAUACAAGUUCGCUGUUCAAAAAAAUAGCACUGUCGCCCGAGGGCAAUGUUGACGUUGAGCCCCCGAGCUCCAUGGAUGAUUCCUCCAUGAUCUUGAUAGAGAUUGGAGUUGAUGUUGAUGAAGGCCCCAUCCGAAUAUGACAAUCGGAGAUGGAGUGCGGUCCUCGGUCAAGCCAAGGUGACCAGUCAAGCCGGUGAUGAAGAUGUCGGCAUCGCAGUUAAUCUAUGGGCGAGCCAUUGAUCCUUUGCUGCACAGCAGAACUCUCAAUGAAAGCACCAUUGUCGGUGUCAAAACCGGUAGAUCUCGGGUAGGGGGUCCCGAACUGUGCGUCUAAGGAUCGAUGGUAACAGGAGACAGGGGACACGAUGUUACCCAGGUUUGGGCCCUCUUGAUGGAGGUAAUACCCUACUUCCUGCUUGAUUGACUUUGAUGAGUAUAGGGGUUACAAGAGUUGAUCUACUCGAGAUCGUAUAUUGUGGUCUAAACCCUACAGGUACGAUGAGUAAUGUCAUAAUAAUCUACCGAAUAACCUGGCCUCGGCUUAUAUAAUAUACCAGAGGCCUAGGAGAACAAGAGUCCUAGUCGAAUACGCCGGUGGAGAGGAGUCCUUGUCUUGAUAACCAAGUCUUGUGGAAUCUUCCUCGUGUAUACAUCGGCUGUUCAAACUGGCCCAUGAGCAUACGGCCAUGGGGUCCUUGGCCCAAUCCAACUGAUUGGGAGAUGACGUGGUGAGUACCCCCUAGUCCAGGACACCGUCACCCCCUACUAGCUGGGACCCAGUAUAGUGGCAGGCUAACUUGUGGGCCUACUAAGCUGAUGGGGACGGAGGGCUUUAUCAACUUAGUCAAUAUGCACGAUUCUAGCUCCAGUGACUGUACGAUGUCCAUCCAACGGCCGUAGUGCUUCUUCAACCUCUGGUCUUCUUGCUCCAGCUGCCCAAACCAGCGCUGGUCGCACAUCAUGCUCCUGCCUCCCGUGGCCGACUGCGAUGCCGUGGAGGCCUCACCGCCCCUACUACUCCCAUCGCUGGCCAGGCCAUCCCUCUACUCACCCACACCCCCUGUUAUUCUAUGGCGAUGACAGCCUCACACCGCAGCGAACCAGUGAACUCUCAUACUCCUCUACGCGUGGGCAUCCACUGUCGCAUCUUCCCCGGCUCCACGUCGUCCCCUUCCAAGGUCUUGCCGUCGUCCACCGCCUUGGUGCUCUCAGCACGGCCUGGUCAACGUGGUCAAGGAACAGCUUCCAUUGGACGUGGACUGUAUGUGGAGAGGCUGACAGCUGGGUCCACGGCCGCAGCAAGGAAGUGCCUCCUUAUUACGUGCAAAAUAAUUAUUCCUCCACCUGACAGUGGGGACCCACCGGACGGGCCAUCAUAUUUUGCGAAAUAAAUGUUUCCCCUUGACUGUUGGGACCGACCAGCUACAUCUUCGCACGCAAGGAAGUGCGUUUGGGCAAGAAAAAACGAUUCGCCCCCUGACUGUUGGGACCCACCAGCUACAUCUUCGCAUGCAAGGAAGUGCCUGACAGUCGGGACCCACCUGGUCGAAGCGUACAUAGCGUUGUCAUUUUGGUCGCGAACGUGUACGCACAUACUGGUCGAUGUAGAGGCGUGCACGUGUCGUAGUAGAGGCGCGCAUGUAGCAUGUACACGUACUUACAGCGGCCAGUGUGCAAGAAAGAAAAUACGGCCACCUACGUACAUACGGGCGGGGUCUCGAACGCCUACUCGCGCAUACGUACGGCCAGGGCUCGUGUACAUGGCUGGGUCGGAACGGAGAAACUGCGUCGUCGUUGUGUUCAUGGGGAGCCAACCGGCUGGGUCGAAACGGAAUGUGUCGUCGUGUUCAUCGGGAGGGCUUGGACGGAACAGCCGAUGGAAACAUGGCAUGGCGUACCGCAGAACGAAGGAAACGGCCUUGUGUUCGACCGGCCACGUUUGAAACGGGAUCCUGUUCAUCGGGAGGGGUCUGGCGUACCGCAAAACGGAGGAACGGACCUCCUACGGUCGAAACGGGGUCCUGUUGAUCGAGAGGGGUGUGGCGUACCGCAAAACGGAGGAAACAGACUUGUGUUGGAGCGCUACGGUCGAAACGGGCGUCCUGUUCAUCGGGAGGGGUGUGGCGUACUGCAAAACGGGACUCCACGGGAUACUGUUCAUCUCCACCGUCGACCCCCUCUAGCCUCCAUGGACUACGGUUCAUCCACCAUCGACCUCCUCCAGCCUCCACAUGCGACUGUUCAUCCAGCCUCCACCACGCGCUACUCCACAGGCUACUGUUCAACCAGCCAUCUCCAUGGGCUCCUGUUCAACCACCCCUCCACGGGCUACUGUUUAUCCAGCCCUCAAGCCUCUUCUGUUCAUCCAGCCCUCCACGGGGUGGUCCUAUUCAUCCAGCCCUCCACGGGGUCCUGUAACAUCCCAAAUUUUCAAUUUGGAAUUUUAUACAUUAGAGCAUCAUGCAUAUCAUAUUUUAUUUUGCAUUUUGGUUGAUCCUAGAAAUUCUACGCAACUCAAUGACCCACGGAGAGAGUUGGGGAUUUUGUUAUUUUCAUAUUUGAGUUCUCUCAAAUUUUGAGAAUAGGAUCAUUUGAUUUUAUUUAUUUUAUCAUCAAUUAUUUCUAUUACAAAAAUAUGAGACAGGGAAUAAAAUGACUUUCCCAAAAUAAAGAAAUAUUGAGGAUUUAAUAAUAAAAUCAAAUAAGAUUUUUAUUUCGGAGUUUUUCGGUGUUUUAUUUGAAUUUAGGAAAAAUGUGCGUUUUUCAAAAUUGCAUUUAGGGCCCAAAUAAAUAUUCACCUUGUGCGGCUUGAUUUUAGAAGCCCGUGAAAAUUUAUUUCGGAAUUUUUGGAGUCCAUUUAGUUUUUCUUUUUAUUUUUCUUCCGAGCGGAAUAACUAAAAAAAACCGACUUCGGGCCGUACCCGAGCGGGACACCGCCCGGGGGCAGCCUUUAAAUAGCGCCGCCACGAGACGCCCCAGCCCAUCAGCCCCGCCUCGAUCCACGCACGCCGCCAGAGCCGCCGCCGCCGACGAUCCCGCCGCCCGAAUACAGAUUAAAUCGGCAUUCGUCGUUUUUCUUUUUCUCGGAUUAAAUCCGCGAUUUUUCUGAUCGCGAUUCCUGAUCCGAUUUUCGUUUUAGUUUAACUUUCCUCUUGUUUAUCGGAAUCAGGCGAUUCAAGCGCCUAGAGUUUCGUCUCGAAACCCACUAUCCGUUUAACCAACUUAAACAAGUUUUCGUUAUUGUAAAAUUUGAACUAGAUCCAGAUUACUAGAACGAAGUUGUUUUCUUUCGCCGUUUGUCUUUCGUUGCUUCGUUCGAUUUGAUUCUUUUUGCCAACCAGAGUUCUUAAGUUGAACCUUCUGGUUAGAUCUCUUAUUUGAGUUUUACCUGUGCGUUAGAUGAGUACUUAUUGUAUGCUUGUUUGUUUGUUUGCGAUAGAGUACCCGGAGUGCGCCGCCUGUUACUUCGAAUCGUUAGGUUUCGCGGAUCAUCAGCAAGGCAAGUAACACUUUGAUCAUACCUUUUCUACUACCCAGCUUUAUUGCAUUAGAUCAAUCCUCACACAUUGCAUGAUUAGGAUCUAAUUAAAUUGUGGGAUGGGAAGUAGAUGAGGUAGUACCUAUUACCUGUUUACUAUCAAACCUUUGGGAGUUACUUCUACGUUUGCUUAUUAUGCCAUGCUAUGCUAGUAGACAUGGAUUGGGUGAGUGAAAUCCAUGACAGGUGUGAGAUUGUUAAUUAAUGGUUUAUCUAAGGUGGCAACUUAAACACACAUCUGGGUGGAUUGAGGCACCUGGGUAUUCCAGGACUUGCCUGUUUUCUUUUGGACCGCCACCCAGGCUCAAAGGGAUCAUGAGACUAUUCAUACUAGAAACUUCCGUGUGCAGCCACAAGCUAUUAUGGGCUCUAGCAUAGUUGACUAAGUCGUGCGAACUCUUACAGUGGUAGACUAGCAGAUGUAGGGGAUGUAGGUGGUACGGUCUACCCAUCGUAAGGUGCUAGCGCUUCUGAAAGACUAUGUCUCGGUCAUCCGUCUUCUCAAACACCGUGUAGUGCGAGAAACCAAACGGAGGCGAUCGAGUCUUGUGGGGAAAAGUGCGCAAACCUCUGCAGAGUGUAAUAAACUAAUCAUGGUUAGCCGUGUCCCCGGUUAUGGACAUCUUGAGUAUCUAGUACCUGGAUUUUCAUGUGAAUCUCAACAUGUUACUCUAAAUUAAUUUUGUUGGGUUAUGCUUAAUUGGGAUUGAUAAUGCUGUCAACCAUUCUCAAUGUUUAACAACCACCAUGAUAGUAAUUAAAUUUUAUUCCUUUGAAGUAGGGAAAAAUUGGCUUUACGCAAAACUGUAACCAUAGAGCUUUCCACCAGCCAAAUAUGCAUAUAGUAUAGCCUUUUAUUUUCAUUGCUCUCUAUGUGUUACCUUGCGAGCAUAUUCCAUGUGCUGACCCAUUUCGGGCUACAACGUUAAUGUUGCAGACUUUUCAGACGAUGAUUAAGGAGUUUUUAGGUCGUGGUUCUAUACUCAGUGAUGCCGUUGGAGUUGAUGGACUCACUUAUCUUCCAAGCCUUCCGCUGUUAUUGUUUUUAGAUGGCCUUAAGCCAUAUGUAUUGUAAUAAGUUCUCUUAUGAGACACUCGAUGUAAUAGGUGUGUGAUUGCUACUCUGCUAUAAAUCCUCCUAGUACUGUGUGGUGUCGGCAUUACUGAUCUAGGGAUGACACCAGAGCACACAGAUCAGACCGUUUGAGGUCUGGUCGCUACAAAGAUGGUAUCAGAGCACACGCUGACUGUAGGACACGACCACUAAGCACAAGACCUAGAUCACUAUUCACUCUCUUCUCUUCUGACCUCUCAUCUUUUGUACUCUUUAGGAUGGCGGAUGCAAGGAACAAGUUCACACAACCGGAUGAAGAUACACCCUUUGGACGCCACUUGAAGGAAGUCACUAGAUACCUGACAUAGGAGUACCAAGCUUCACGGGAACCUACAACGCCACUUUACCUGAAGAAGAGCGCUGGAUGAUUCAAGUUCAAGUUCCAGGAAGGACGUUCAUGCCAGUCACAGAGCCCAUAUUGUUUUCUUUUGAUGCACCAACUUGGAGUCUAGGAAAGAGCAUGGCAGCUCACAUCGCCAUGGGACGCAUUGGAGAAGUCUACCAUAAAGAUCUCAAGGAUACUAUCUACCAGAUUUGUGGGCGCCAAGAUGAGCACUGGGAGAUGAUCAGCACCAGGAAGGAUAGGUCAAUCGCAGCUUUUAUCUAGGAGUUAAAUCAGCACAUUCGACGACAGGAGAACCAGAUGUGCGCCGACAUGAUAGACCUGAAGAAGGCAAAGACUAGAAUCAAGGAACUGGAGGAAGAACUCAAGGCUACACGUGAAGAUUAUGAAGAGGAAAUUGAAGUAUUGGUGAAGAAGAAUGACGACCUGAUCAAGAAGAUUGGAAUAUUUAUGGGAGGCCCUAUGCCAGUAGAUGAAUACGAAGAACCCAAGGAGAUUAGCCCGGAAGACUACAUCAUCAUCGACGGCACCGACUCGGAACAAGAUAGUAGCAAUGAUGACUAUGUUGAUGAAGCUGGAGCAGAUAUCAUGGAGUCUGCAACUGAAGAAUAUUUCUAGUAGACCACCUCAUCAGUAGUAGUAGUCCACCAUGUAAAUAUAGUAGUCCGAGCACUUUUGCGAUAGUUAGAUCGAUUGUAUGCCCUUGUUUGAUUGAUUGAAGUGAAUUGUUUGUUUUUGCCUCAUGUGCAUAUGGGUAGUGUCUUCUCUUUAAACCCCCCUCUAUUCUUAUAUCUCAUCUUUUCUAAACCCUCAGAUGCCUCCGAGACGUGACCCCGGAUUUGCCUUUCCACCGGAGCUCACCCAGUUAAUCCAGCAGCAGAACACGUUGAUGCAGUUGCUAGUCCAGAAUCAGAAUCAGGGGAACAACAACAUCCCACCACCACCACCACCACCUGUUGACCACUUAGCCCGUUUUCUUAGGCUGAAUCCGCCGGCGUUUUCCAGUAGCGCCGAGCCAAUAGUAGCAGAUGAUUGGCUCUGCAAGACAGCUAGGGAGUUGACCACAGCAGGAUGUACGGAUGCGGAGAAGGUGAAGUUUGCCGCACAUCAGUUAGAAGGACCCGCAGCAUCAUGGUGGGAGAAUUUCACAGCCACUUUCCCAGUAGACACUGUCACAUGGGACCAGUUUCAGCAGGCUUUUCGUACUGCACAUGUUUCAGCAGGAGCUAUGGCCAUGAAGAAGUGUGAGUUUCGCAACUUGCGCCAAGGAGGAAGGACAGUUGGCCAGUAUGUGGAGGAAUUUAGUAAGCUAGCACGUUAUGCCCUAGAUGACGUCGCUACGGAUGCAGCUAAGCAGGAGAAGUUUCUGGAAGGACUGAAUGAUGAGUUGAGCAUGCAGUUGAUGGUGGCAACCUUCAACAACUACCAGGAGUUGGUAGAUCGUGCUCUUAUGAUUGAAGGGAAGCAACAACAAAUUGAGAACCGCAAGAAGAAGUAUGGACAAGGAAAGUACAAUUCAGGAGCUCAGCAGAAGCCACGUUUUACCCCUAGACCGGGAGGACAUUUUUAGCAUACCAUGGUUGAGGUAGCUCGCACAAUCACAAUGGCACCAAGAAUGGUAAUGGCAAUGGAGGAAGCAACGGCCAGAACCGCACCAACCCAUCAACCCCAGCCAAGAAGGACUUAAGCCAAGUCACUUGAUUUAAGUGUUCGAAGACCGGACAUUAUGCCAAUGAAUGCCCUGAAUUACAAAAUGGAAAUAGCAAUGGAAGUUCUGGGAAGAAGCCGAACCCUUUCAACAGGGGACAGGUGAACCACGUUAGCGUGGAGGAGGUUGAAGCUCAGCCUGAUGCAGUAAUAGGUAAGUUUUUGGUUAAGUCAUUUACUACACUCGUUCUUUUUGAUACUGGUGCAUUGCAUUCAUACAUCUCAAGGGGAUUUGUGGAUAAGUAUAACCUACCAACCCAAGCCCUUAGGUCACCCAUGUUAGUAACCUCGCCCGGAGCAGAGUAUGUGGCUAGUCUAUGGUGUGAUCAGUUACCAUUAAGGAUUGCUAACUAUGUUUUUCCCUCAGACCUAAUAGUAUUGUAAUCUCAAGGAUUGGAUGUGAUAUUAGGCAUGGAUUGGUUAUCAAAGUAUGGAGGGAAUAUUGAGUGUGCUAGCAAGUCAAUUUUGCUUACCACCCCAGAAGGGAGAAAGAUCAAGUAUGUAUCCCGGCAUGUGCCAAAGAGGACUUAAGUAAAUUGCCUAACAGGAGUUGUGCAGGAGGAAGUACCAGUGGUAAGGGAUUUUCCCGAUGUAUUUCCAGAGGAGUUGCCAGGCAUGCCACCGGAUAGAGAUAUUGAGUUUUUGAUGGAGCUAUUGCCAGGCACAGGGCCAAUAUCAAAGAGACCAUAUAGGAUGCCAGCAAAGGAUUUGGUGGAAAUUAAGAAGCAGAUUAAGAAGUUACUGGAUAAAGGAUAUAUUUGCCCAAGUUCUUUGCCUUGGGGAUCGCUAGUACUUCUAGUGGAGAAGAAGGAUGGAUCGUUAAGGAUGGUUGUUGAUUAUCAAGGAUUGAAUGAAGUAACGAUCAAGAACAAGUACCCGCUACCAAUGAUCAAUGAUCUGUUUGAUCGAUUGCAAGGAGCUAAGGUAUUUUCCAAGAUCGAUCUGCGAUCAGGAUACCACCAGUUGAAGAUUCGAGAACAGGAUAUUCCGAAGACAGCUUUUACCACCAGGUAUGGGCUGUAUGAGUAUACUGUUAUGUCAUUUGGUCUGACUAACGCACCUGCCUAUUUUAUGAACAUGAUGAACAAAGUGUUUAUGGAGUUUUUGGAUAAGUUCGUCGUAGUGUUCAUUGAUGAUAUCCUGGUUUAUUCGAAGAAUGAAGAGGAACAUAAGGAGCAUUUGCGUUUGGUACUUGGAAAGCUCAGAGAACAUCAAUUAUAUGUCAAGUUCAGCAAAUGUGAGUUUUGGUUGAAGGAAGUAGGAUUCCUCGGACAUGUUAUAUCUGGAGAAGGUAUAGCAGUAGAUCCUGCUAAAAUUGAAACCGUGACCAAGUGGGAAGCCCCAACAACAGUUGGAGAGAUCCAGAGUUUUCUUGGACUCGCAGGAUACUACCGGAGAUUUAUUGAGAAUUUCUCAAAGAUUGCGAAGCCUAUGACUGAGUUGUUGAAGAAGGAUACCAAGUUCAUAUGGACAGAGGAAUGUGAGGCUAGUUUCCAGGAGUUGAAGAAACGCUUGGUUACCUCACCAAUGUUGAUUUUGCCAGACCAGACCAAAGAUUAUGAGGUGUAUUGCGACGCUUCAUGUCGAGGACUUGGAGCAGUGCUUAUGCAGGAAGGGAGAGUUGUUUCAUAUGCCUCAAGACAACUGAAGCCUCAUGAGUUGAAUUAUGCCACGCAUGAUUUGGAGUUAGCAGCCGUAGUGCAUGCUUUGAAAACAUGGAGACAUUUCCUCAUUGGAAAUCAUUGUGAGGUGUACACGGAUCAUAAGAGUUUGAAGUAUAUUUUCACACAGAAGGAGUUAAAUCUCAGACAAAGGAGAUGGUUGGAGCUUAUCAAGGAUUAUGAUAUGAAAUUGCAUUAUCACCCCGGAAAGGCUAAUGUAGUAGCUGACGCAUUAAGCCGUAAGAGCCAUGUCAAUACAUUAAUGACGGGAGAAAUACCCAAGGAGUUAGCAGAUAAUCUUCAUGAACUAUGUUUGGAAAUAGUUCCGAGAGGCUAUGUAGCAGCAUUGGAGAUUCAGUCCACUUUGAUGGAUAGAAUUAGAGAAGCUCAGAAAGCUGACAAAGAGAUUGCCGCUAUAAAGGAGAAACUGAGCAAAGGAAAAGCUAAAGGAUUUCGUGAGGAUGAGCACGACACCCUAUGGUUUGAAGACCGCGUUUAUGUGCCCAAGAACCCGGAGAUCUGGAAGUUGAUUUUGCAAGAGUCACACGACUCACCGUAUUCGAUUCACCCAGGAAAUACCAAGAUGUAUUUGGAUUUGAAGGAUAUUUCUGGUGGACCGAAAUGAAGAAGGAUAUUGCGGAGUAUGUAGCAGUUUGUGAUAUAUGUCAGAGAGUAAAGGCAAAGCAUCAUAAGCCAGCAGGAUUGUUACAACCAUUGCCGAUACCCGAAUGGAAGUGGGAUAAGCUAGGCAUGGAUUUUAUCACGGGAUUGCCCAGGACUCGUUCAGGCUAUGACUCGAUUUGGGUUGUAGUUGAUCGAUUGACGAAAGUAGCUCAUUUCAUCCCAGUAAAGACCACUUACACUAGUGCUAAGUUGGCAAAGAUAUACAUGACCAGGAUCGUAUGUUUGCAUGGAGUUCCAAGGAGUAUCGUAUUAGAUAGAGGAACCCAGUUUACCUCAAAGUUCUGGAAGCAGUUGCACGAAACUUUGGGAACCAGGCUAGAAUUCAGUACAGCUUUUCAUCCACAGACAGAUGGACAGACCGAGAGAGUCAAUCAGAUUUUGGAGGAUAUGCCGAGAGCUUGUGCGCUAGAUUAUGGAUCUAGUUGGGAUGAUAAUUUUCCAUAUGCAGAGUUCUCUUACAACAACAGUUACCAAACCAGUUUAAAGAUGGCCCCUUUCGAAGCAUUGUACGGAAGGAGGUGCAAGACACCGUUGUCGUGGGACGAAGUUGGAGACCGCCAGUUGUUUGGACCUGACUUGAUUAAAGAGUCUGAACAGAAGGUGAAGUUGAUUCGCGAUAGGCUCAAGGUAGCCCAGUCCAGAUAGAAGAGUUAUGCGGAUUCUAAACGCAAGGAGACAGUUUACGAAGUCGGAGAUAGAGCUUAUCUUCGAGUAUCUCCACUUCGAGGAACAAAGCGUUUUGGAGUUAAAGGGAAGUUAGCACCACGAUUUGUAGGACCAUAUCGAGUUUUGGAGCGUAUGGGAGAAGUGGCCUACAAGAUGGAAUUUCCCGAAGGAUUGUCAGGAGUACAUGAUGUGUUCCACGUUUCUCAGUUAAAGAAAUGUCACGCGGAGAUGGCUGACAUACCGUUGAGAGACACAGUGCCUUUGGAAACUAUUCAGUUGGAUAACGAUUUGACCUACGAGGAGAAACCAGUCAAGAUUCUCGACUUUGCCAACCGAGUUACUCGCAGCAAGGUUAUCAAGUUUUGCAAAGUUCAGUGGAGCCACCACUCAGAGGAUUAAGCCACCUGGGAGCGAGAGGAAGAUUUGCUAAAGACCACCCUCACCUAUUUUCUAGCCAACCCUAAUCUCGAGGGCGAGAUUCAUCUUAAGGGGGUAGGUUUGUAACAUCCCAAAUUUUCAAUUUGGAAUGUUAUACAUAGAGCAUCAUGCAUAUCAUAUUUUAUUUUGCAUUUUGGUUGAUCCUAGAAAUUCUACGCAACUCAAUGACCCACAGAGAGAGUUGGGGAUUUUGUUCUUUUCAUAUUUGAGUUCUCUCAAAUUUUGAGAAUAGGAUCAUUUGAUUUUAUUUAUUUUAUCAUCAAUUAUUUCUAUUACAAAAAUAUGAGAGAGGGAAUAAAAUGACUUUCCCAAAAUAAAGAAAUAUUGAGGAUUUAAUAAUAAAAUCAAAUAAGAUUUUUAUUUCAGAGUUUUUCGGUGUUUUAUUUGAAUUUAGGAAAAAUGUGCAUUUUUCAAAAUUGCAUUUAGGGCCCAAAUAAAUGUUCACCUUGUGCGGCUUGAUUUUAGAAGUCCGUGAAAAUUUAUUUCGGAAUUUUAGUUUUUCUUUUUCUUUUUCUUCCGAGCGGAAUAAUUAAAAAAACCGACUUCGGGCCGUACCCGAGCGGGACACCGCCCGGGGGCAACCUUUAAAUAGAGCCGCCCCGAGCCGCCCCAGCCCAUCAGCCCCGCCUCGAUCCGCGCGCGCCGCUGGAGCCGCCGACGCCGCCGCCGACGAUCCCGCCGCCCGAGGUUCGCCGCGCCUCGAUUUCCAUGCCGAAAGAAAGAAAAAAAAGGAAAAAAAUCGGUGUUCGUCGUUUUUCUUUUUCUUGGAUUAAAUCCGCGAUUUUUCUGAUCGUGAUUCCUGAUCCGAUUUUCAUUUUAGUUUAACUUUUCGCUCGUUUAUCGGAAUCAGGCGAUUCAAGCGCCUAAAGUUUCAUCUCGAAACCCUCUAUCCGUUUGACCAACUUAAACAAGUUUUUGUUACUGUAAAAUUUGCCCUAGAUCCAUAUUACUAGAACGAAGUUGUUUUCUUUCGCCGUUUGUCUUUCAUUGCUUUGCUCGAUUUGAUUCUUUUGCCAACCGGAGUUCUUAAGUUGAACCUUCUGGUUAGAUCUCUUAUUUGAGUUUUACUUGUGCAUUAGAUGAGUACUUAUUGUAUGCUUGUUUGUUUGUUUGCGAUAGAGUACCCGGAGUGCGCCGCCUGUUACUUCGAAUCGUUAGGUUUCGCGGAUCAUCAGCAAGGCAAGUAACACUUUGAUCAUACCUUGUCUACUACCCAGUUUUAUUGCAUUAGAUCAAUCCUCACACAUUGCAUGAUUAGGAUCUAAUUAAAUUAUGGGAUGGGAAGUAGAUGAGGUAGUACCUAUUACCUGUUUACUAUCAAACCUUUGGGAGUUACUUCUACGUUUGCUUAUUAUGCCAUGCUAUGCUAGUAGACGUGGAUUGGGUGAGUGAAAUCCAUGACAGAUGUGAGAUUGUUAAUUAAUGGUUUAUCUAAGGUGGCAACUUAAACACACAUCUGGGUGGAUUGAGGCACCUGGGUAUUCCAGGACUUGCCUGUUUUCUUUUGGACCGCCACCCAGGCUCAAAGGGAUCAUGAGACUAUUCAUACUAGAAACUUCCGUGUGCAGCCACAAGCUAUUAUGGUCUCUAGCAUAGUUGACUAAGUCAUGCGAACUCUUACAGUGGUAGACUAGCAGAUGUAGGGGAUGUAGGUGGUACGGUCUACCCAUCGUAAGGUGCUAGCGCUUCUGAAAGACUAUGUCUCGUUCAUCCGUCUUCUCAAACACCAUGUAGUGCAAGAAACCAAAUGGAGGCGAUCGAGUCUUGUGGGGAAAAGUGCGCAAACCUCUGCGGAGUGUAAUAAACUAAUCAUGGUUAUCCGUGUCCCCGGUUAUGGACAUCUUGAGUAUCUAGUACCUGGAUUUUCAUGUGAAUCUCAACAUGUUACUCUAAAUUAAUUUUGUUGGUUAUGCUUAAUUGGGAUUGAGAAUGAUGUCAACCAUUCUCAAUGUUUAACAACCACCAUGAUAUUAAUUAAAUUUUAUUCCUUUGAAGUAGGGAAAAAUUGGCUUUACGCAAAACUGUAACCAUAGAGCUUUCCACCAGCGAAAUAUGCAUAUAGUAUAGCCUUUUAUUUUCAUUGCUCUCUAUGUGUUACCUUGCGAGCAUAUUCCAUGUGCUGACCCGUUUCGGGCUACAACGUUAAUGUUGCAGACUUUUCAGACGAUGAUUAAGGAGUUUUUGGUCAUGGUUCUAUACUCAGUGAUGCCGUUGGAGUUGAUGGACUCACUUAUCUUCCAAGCCUUCCGCUGUUAUUGUUAUUAGAUGGCCUUAAGCCAUAUUUAUUGUAAUAAGUUCUCUUAUGAGACACUCGAUGUAAUAGGUGUGUGAUUGCUACUCUGCUAUAAAUCCUCCGAGUACUGUGUGGUGUCAGCAUUACUGAUCCAGGGAUGACACCGGAGCACAGAGAUCAGACCGUUUGAGGUCUGGUCGCUACAGGUCCUGUUCAUCCAGCCCCAAACGGCUCGAUCGACCGGGGUCAUGUGCAUCCAGAGGAAACACCACAUGGUAUUGUUCAUCCACCCCCACCGGGAACUGUUCAUCCAAACCCCCCAGCAACGCUCACUGUUCAUCCAGAGGCAGUAUCGAUCGGCUUCAGUUAGCAACCGUAGCGAAGGAAUUGCUCGAUCGGGUUCAGUUAACAGCCAUCGAUCGAUCGCUCGGGUUCAGUAACGCGUAGCCUGCAGUGCAAUCGCUCGGGUUCAGUAGGCGAAUGCCUCACUCGGGUUCAGUUAGAGCCCAACGCCUCGCACCCACGCGCGUGCGUGUACGAGAGAAACACGCAUCGCUCGGCCCUGACCACCCACCGUAACUGGGAACACCCUGAUAUUUUCCUCGCCCUCGGUUCUACCACGGUUUUUUUGUCAUGGGCGGCCCAAAGAAUGUCAUGCAGCUGCGUCUCCGGCCCGCCCAGGAUGAAAAGUCCAUUUUCUGUCAUGAGUUUUUGUCAUAGAAGUAGGAGCCCACCACAUCUAUGAUGAUACCAGGUUUUGUCACAAUUAUCAUCUUAGAAGUGUCAUAAGUACGACAGAAUUUUUUUCGUUCAGCCCAAAAUGCCACGGAUGUGUCUUUUUUUGUAGUGUUGUAUAUGGGGUGUUCAUGGCUAGUCGAAAGCUCAAGCAAUAUUUUCUGGGUCAUCCCAUCACUAUGGUUAGUUCUGCUCCUUUAGGGGAUAUUAUUCAAAACAGAGAAGCCAUAGUUCGGGUAGCCAAGUGGGCCACUGAGCUUGGACCCCAUGGUUUGAAGUAUAUGCCUCAUAUAGCCAUCAAGUCUCAAGCACUGGUGGAUUUCAUAAAUGAUUGGACAGAGCUGUAGAUGCCUGAGGAGAAACUGGAUAGCACAUAUUGGACUAUUCACUUCGAUGGAUCCAGGCAGUUGGAAGGCUCGGGGGCUGGAGUUAUAUUGACUUCCCCAUGAGGUGAUAAAUUUUGUUAUGUUUUAAGGUUGAUGUUCCCUUGUACUUACAAUGCAGUUGAGUAUGAGGCCUUACUCCAUGGUCUUCGGAUGACUAAAGAAAUAAACUUAAGCCGGGUGAGGUGUUUUGGUGACUCAGAUUUGGUAGCUCAGCAAGUUUUAGGCACUUGGGAUUCUAAGGACCCACUCAUGGCGGCUUAUCGCCGAGAGGUUGAUGCUAUUGCUGGUCAUUUCAAGGGCUAUCAAGUGGAGCAUGUUGAUCGAAGGAAAAACGAGGCGGCUGAUGCUUUAAGUCGGUUGGGAUCCCAACGUAAGCCGGUGCCACUCAAUAUUUUCCUUGAUAUUUUGCAUAAUCCUUCUGUCAAACUGCCUACAGAGGAAGAUCUUGCUAUUCCUGACCUGGAGGCACAGCUGGUGGCGGCUCUUCAUGCUAUUCCUGAUUGGACAGUUCCAUAUUUGGCGUAUAUGACCCGGGGUGAGUUACGUGAAGAUGAAACUUUGGCCAGGCAGAUAACCCAGCGGUCUAAGUCAAUGACUAUUAUCAAUGGAGAGUUGCAUCAUCGCAGUGUUAUAGGGGCGUUUCAAUGUUGUGUCUCUCCUGAAGAAGGUUGUGAGAUCCUAUGAGAGAUUCAUGAAGGAGAUUCUGAUCAUCAUCCAGCUCUAAGUCUCUCGUAGCCAAGGCUUUUCGUCAUGGAUUUUAUUGGCUGACGGCUCAUGCUGAUGCAGAGGAUUUGGUCAGUAAAUGUGAUGGUUGUUAGAAAUUCUCAAGACGAGCUCAUGUGCCGGCUCAAGAGUUGAGGAUGAUUCCAAUUACUUGGCCGUUUGCAGUCUCGGGGCUUGACAUGGUUGGACCUUUCAAAAGGUCCAAGGAUAAAAAGACCCACCUUUUGGUGGCGGUUGACAAAUUCACAAAGUGGGUUGAAGCAGAGCCGGUUAGUAAGUGUGACGCGGCCACAGCGGUACAAUUCAUUAGAAAGGUGAUCUUUCGUUUCGGUUUACCACACAACAUUAUAACAAAUAAUGGCACCAAUCUGUCCAAGGGUGUUAUGAAAGAGUUUUGCCAAUGAGAGCAUAUUUGACUUGAUGUGUCAUCAGUGGCUCACCCCCAGUCCAAUGGUCAAGCCGAGAGGGCCAAUCAAGAAAUUCUGAGAGGCAUCAAGCCCCGGCUUAUGGUCCGUUUGCAAAGGAUGUCGGGUUGUUGGGUGGAGGAGUUACCCUCAGUGUUAUGGAGCAUCAAUACCACCCCCAACAGAUCUAUGGGUUACACGCCUUUCUUCAUGGUUUACGGAGCAGAGGCCGUUCUCCCUAGUGGCAUCCAUCAUGAUUCGCCUCGUGUGGUGGCUUAUGUUGAAGCUGAUAAUGAAAAAGCACAUCAGGAUGCUAUUGACCUGUUGGAUGAGGAGUGUGACCUUGCGGCGGCUCGUUGGGCAAUUUACUAGCGAGAUCUGCGCCAUUAUCAUAGCCGUCGGGUUAAAACCAGGACCUUUCAAGAAGGCGAUUUGGUGCUCCGACUUAUCCAGGAUCAAACUGAUAUGCACAAACUAUCCCCACCCUGGGAAGGACCCUUUGUGGUCAGCAAAAAUCUGAAUAAUGGUCCAUACUACCUUAUCGAUGUUCGAGACCACAAGGACUCACGCACGUCGGAGGAGGAGACCCGCCGGCCGUGGAAUAUUGCUCAUCUUCGCCCUUAUUACACAUGAGCCACUGGCUCUUAUGAUGUAUAUAUUUUGACAAUGUAUAUAUAAUGAUGAAUAUAAUAAAGUCGACAUCGCUGCUAAGUCAGGGUCUCUGUCGUUUCAUUUCUGACAAUAAUGAGUCUUUAUUGUCACUUCAUACGGUCACUUGGGGGCUUCCUACUCAUUGAGCAUAGCUAUGACUACCCUCUUGAUCCGGCUUGUAUGCCAUGAUUACAAAAUACUUGGGGGCUUCCUGCUCAUUGAGCAUAGCUAUGACUACCCUGUUGAUCCGGCUUGUACGCCUGGAAUGAAACAUUACUUGGGGGCUCUUUGUUAAUUGACAAGAGCUUUAUUGACCCUUGUAAUAGGCUUGGACGACAGGUGUAUUCACCAGAAAAGUCGGGUUAUCUUGCCUUUGUAAGUUUGCCACUCCACCCAGGUAAUCCUGGAAUGACUCGUCGUACUCUUGACAGUCAAUCUUAUAAAGACCAUGAACUUGUCAAAGUUAAAACAGCGAUUGGUCAUGUGAGGCCCGGCUUACAAGGUUUGAAUGAAGGUUUAACUCAGCGGCUGUGCAGCCCUUGAAAAGCACUUGAUUUUUGAAGGCUUGGCAGCCUAUGAAAGCCUUGUUUUUUCUAUUUGAUUUGAACAUUUUUUGAGAUUCAUCUCUUGUGACAUGUUAAUACGUGAUUGAAAACCGAUGAGGGCUAUGUUGCCUUAUGGUUCUUGUCUGAAUUUAUCCAGAGUUUAUUAACCCAGCCUGGCUUUAGACUUUAAGUCAUCAGUAUAUGAUGAUUUUAUGUGCUUAGAGCAUCGUGCUCUAAGUUUUGGGAUAUUACCCCUUGCUGCAUGCGGUGUUGUAAGCCGGAAGUAUGAAUCAAUUGAAUAGGGCAUUAUGCUCUCAAUUUCUGGGUUGUAACCCUUACUGCACAGGUAUGAUAAGCCGGCAGCAUGAGCAAAUUCAAAGGUAUGAUUGUUAUGAUUAUAUGAGGUUGUGAUUAAAUCGGCCCUGGUUAUGGACUAUUAUAGUCACCAGUGGUUAUUAUAUGGGGUAUUGUGACCCUCCCUAGGGUAAACCACCAGGGCACUUGUGAUCUGUUUGGAUGCAGGAAAAAUGAUAAAUAUGAUCUGCAUAAUUCAUAAUAUCAUGAGCAUAAGGGGCGGAUCUUCAACGGACGGAUCGAUAGUGUUAUGCAAACAAAACAUGCAUGAAGGCACGUCAGAUCAGAGUUUAAAUAGCCUAUUACCUGGCUCCCCGAGCCAAAAUGAUUAAGUGUUUUUUCAAAGCAAUGCUUGAUGAUGAAAAUUGAGAACAGUCCUACGGAUCAGCUCUCCUAGUCUUGGCGGUUUGUGGCUUCUGGGUCAUCCCGUGUCGUUUCUUCUUCUCCCUCCACCGUCUACAAGUCAGGCGAUGACCAAUUGAUGCCAGUCAAGGCUUGAAAUUUAGCUUCGUCAUCAACAAGCUCAUACGGGUCAAUUUCAGUGGCAAAAGGGUGCUUACGGAUUGGAGGGAUAAGAUCUGCAAUCUUGUAAGCUGGCGUGGGCAUUUUCUGGUUCUCUGCGGUAUAAGUCGCUUGAUAUUUGGUCAGAUUUGUUUAUUCAACAAACAGGCUUGCCAAGGGACGCAUCUCCUUCACACACGCAGCAAAAUAUUUCUUAUCAAAAGUAGACCCGUCUUCUUUGAAACUAGGGCAGCCAGUGGCUAGCUCGGUCGGGUCUAAUCCUGACUGCCAUGCCUUUGCCUGGAUUAAAGUUGUAAUGGCACCGGCUCUAGCAGCUGACCGUUUGUUUUCUUCAAUACGGGCAGGCAAAACAGAAAGUUGGCUUAAAACGUUGCAGAGAAGAGAUGGAGCUUGAUUACUUGGGGAGAUGGUGGCUAUCGUACGCUGAGCUCUGGUGUAUAGUUGUUCUACUAAUGUAUAAACCGCCUUGAGCUUUAUCAAUAUCUUCUUCCCAAGAUCGCUACUUCUGGGACCUGCAUGGCAUAUGAUGAUUAAGUCACCUGACGGUUUAUAACCUGGAAGGUGGAAGGUUAUUACGAUAUAACAGGUCUUACCAAAGAUAUAAAAAGUCAUCUGAUUGAUGUGUUGCUUCAAGCCACUAAGUUCUGUGGUGACCUCUUUCAAUGAGGCCUCAGCCUUUUCAGCUCUCUUGAUCAGGGAAGCCUUCUCUUCAGUCCAGGCAUCUUUCUUAGUAUUAAACUCAGUUUUGAGUUUUUAAUUUUCAUCCAAGCUAAACUUGAACUGGGAGUCAGCCUUCCGGGUUUCAGAUUCUUGUGCUUCUAGCCAGGUUUUUAAAUCAGUCAGCUGAGACUGAAAUUGACUAGAUACUUCCUGAAAAGAGCAGGUUCAAACAAGUAUGCACAGUUAUGAAGCAGUAUAUAUUGAUAAGUCCCAAGCCCUUUGCAAGCAAUUGCACUUGGCACUUGGGGGCUAGUGCGUGCAAAAAGUUUCUUUAUACCACACUCUAUAUUGCUAAGUCCCAAACUCUUUGCAAGCAAUAGCACUUGGCACUUGGGGGCUAUUGCAUGCGCAUUUUUCUCUUAUAAUGUAAUGGCAGAUGGCCCCGGUUCAUACUUUUUCAAAAGUUAACCCGGUUUACAUGAGUGGAUCAAGAUUUGUUAUCUCACAAUGAUAAGGCCCAGUUUAAUCAUAUGGAUUCAACUGGCCCUUGGUGGCUACAGCUAGAAAAUUGAUCAUGAUUACUGAAGACCCGGUUUAACUUAACAAUUUAAGCUGGCCCUUGGGGGCUACAGGUGGAAAAUUGAUUAUUGAAAGCCCCGGUUUAUCUUGAUAAGUAUAAGCCAGCCCUUGGAAGCUACUGGUUUUGAUUCACAUGCGUACUCUACAGGCUAUCUAACAAGUCUAUAGUAUAUUAUAUUCUGUCAUAUUCAGUAGACUUGGGGGCUAAAGGAAUAUAGCUUAUGUAAAAGUGGGAAUUGGUACCUCAUGUUUCUGAUGCAUGUGCUUAACCAUGUGAAUCUCCAGAUCACGGCUGCUGCGUAUUUGAUUAAGAUAGCCGGAGAGGAUUUCGCUCAUACUCAUAUGAGAAUAGUUGGCCAUGUAAAAUUUGACCUUGCACCUUUCAACCAUUUCUUCCUUGGCAGAAUGCUUUGCUAGAGCAAUAGGAUUCCCCGGUUCUUGGAAACCAGUGCCAGUGAUCAGAACUUCCUCAGUGUAUGGUUCUGAAGGCUUGACUAGAAUCGGCGGUUCAGUGCCCAAAGGGUCAACAACGAUAUGGUCAGCAGAGGUACCACGAUUUUCUGGUGGGGGGUCAUCGGUAGGUUCCUCCGGUUGUUGCACGGAGGCCUCAAAAAUGGGUUCUUGCUUUUCUAGUUCAUAAGUCUUAGGAUCCUCUGUUGGCUUGUUUAUCUUAGCCUUUUUACUAGGCUUUGCUUUCCCACUGCAAAAGGGUUAAAAAGUCAGUAUGAGUUUAGCGAUUUUGAAAAGAUUAGAUAAAGUUGGUACCCAUGAGCAGUCUUGAAAGUCGAAAGUAGAGUCUGAGAUGAAUCACCAGAUGAAGAGUGAGAGUUCCCCUAGUAAUGUGAGUCAGGAUGACUAAGGGUUUGAUGAAUAAAAUCUGCCUGAGAAUAAAUAAGAGUGGAAAUUUCUGGAAGUACCUCAUUCCGGCGCUUGCGUGGGGCUGGCGUGUUGGGUAAGCCAGAGGAAAGUUCUCCACCUCCACUGGUCCGGGUUCUGCGCUGGUUCUCAUGCUGUUGUUGCUUCAAAAUAAAGUUGGGAUACAAGUGAGCUAAAGGGUUAGAAAAGCUUACUUUCCGGAUCACUCGUCGAAUUUUCUGGCUUGGCAAGGGCUCUGAGUCAGAGGAAAUAUUAGUUACCUCAUCAUCACCCACCUGGCUGGUUUCCGCGUCUUCUUGAUAGUAAUCAAUGUCAAUAAGAUGGAUGAAAAAAGAACCAAGGGAAUCAAGAUCUUCCUCCAACUCAUCAUCAUCUUCGUCUAAAUUGAACAGAUCGGAAGCAGUGGAUUUAUUCUUGUUUUUCUUCACGGCUUUGGUCUUAUCCCUAGCCCUCUUGGCGGCUUUUUCAUCAUACUUUUUAUCCCAAAAGGACGAUUUAGCCUGCAGUAAAUUACAGUAAAGGUUGAGGAUUUUCGGGUUCUAUGAACAAUGAAGUAAAGUAUAUAAACCGGACAGACUUACAUCCGGUGCCGGCUUGAGUGUGUAGAAGGGAUUUAACCCCACUUGGCUACAACUCUCCAAACUUUCGUUGAGAAGAGUCUUGGUCAUCUCAUUGAUAGCUUUGUCAGACAAACGCGUUGAACUGUAACGCAGUGAGUCUUUGGUGUCGCCGGUAUAUGUACACAUUAAACUGGACCAAUUGCUUAAAGGUAUGAUCCUCCAGGCUACCCAGCAUCGAACUAGAUCAACCCCGGUCAAUCCAUUGCCCAGUAGUGCUCUAACCUUUGAAAUGGUAGGCGCAAGUUUGGCCCGUUCAGUAGUGGUAAGCCGGUCAGGGAGAGGAUGCUUCGGGUUGAGCCAUUGGUCACGGAAGCCGGGCAUGGGGUUCUCAUCAGUAGGAGAAGUAUCUUUGCAAUAGAACCAAGUUUUAUUCCAAUCCUUGGGAUGGCUUGGAAGUUUAGCAUAAGGAAAAAUGGCAUCCCUGUGUCGUUGAAUUGAAAUCCCUCCAAGCUCCUGACUGGGCCCGUCAGUAAAUUCAUUUUGGCAGUUCAAGUAAAAGAACUCUUUGAAGAGCUCAACGCUAGGUUCCUCUUGAAGUUAUACUUCGCAGAAGACUUGGAAAUUGCAGAUAUUUGACAUGGAAUUGGGUCUGAUAUCUUGAGGAUGAAGUUGGAAAAAUGCAGGACGUCACGGAAGAGUUUUGAACCGGGCGGUGAGAAGUCCUGGUUCAUAUGAUCAGUGAAAAAAAUAAUUUCACCAUCUUGUGGUUGAGGUCUGACUUUGUUUGGCUUUGGAAUACGCCACGGAAUGAUGUUUUUUGCUGGUAAGAGGCCAAUUUUGACAUACUCCUGGAGCAUUGCCUCGGUAACAAUGGAUGAGACCCAGUCGCAUGAUGUGACGGUCUUAGUCAUGGUUGGGUGCACAGCCUACAUAAGGCGGUUCAAGAUGUUAUUAAAUCGGCAAAUAUUUGGCAACUUACCAAUUAUCGUUUAAAUCGCUAUGCAAGGUUAAUGGUUAUGGAGAUACAGUUCAAAUUAUGCAGUUGUUAAACUGGAAGGAUAUUGUAGAAUUAUUGACUAUGAGGUAAAUGAUGGUGGCUUAAACGAGGCCUAAUGAUAUAAGCUGUGCAGUUUUUGGUGAUUCAGAUCUAUCAAAUGAAAAAUUUGCUAAGUGGUGGACAAACAGAUUUCGCAAGCUGAAGUUAUAAUUUUGGAUAUAUGGCAAUUUAGAAAAGGCAGUAAAAUUCUAAACCUAAGGUGGCGAGAGUGGAAAGUGUGGAUGUUUUAAUGAGAUUUUCUAUGGGGAGAUGUUACUCUAAUAAUAAAAAGGAAUACUAAAACUACUUCCGCGCAAGGUUCGUAGCCUAUCCAGAUUAAAAGCCACUAGAGUUGGAAGAAACAGCGAUGAACAGCAAGGACGCCGCUGAACUAUCCAAACCCUAAAUGCAGAUCUGAGAUGGAAAGAAAGGUGCACUUACAGAAGAUGAGGAGCAGCGGUGGCGCGUUGGAGUUUCCGAUCCAAUCAGGUCGAUGCAGCGGCCUGGGUCUGUGCAGCGGUCGAAGGUCACGACAGCGGAGCUUGAGCGAUAGAAGAGACGUGAGGAAGACAAAGUAAGGGGCGAAAAUGAUAAAGACGUCUAUCCCUAUUUAUAAGGGGGCGGAUACAAGGCAUGCACGGGAAAUCGAGGAGGCCAAAACCAUCAUGUGGCCAUAUGGACGCCUUGAUUUUCGAGGUGGUUAUUAAGAUAAGGAUCAUUUAAGAUGUUCUGAACCGCGUACAAAAUUAAUGUGAAGUGACGUCAUGGUGGUUUAAAAAGAUUCUGUGAGCUGACGUCAUGGCGGGUUAUAGCAAGAUUUCUCAAUAAGUGGUGCAAACAUUUUUACAAGACUAGUAUUGAAGAUUGACAUGAACAAGUUCAAGUCAACCUGGGGCCUAAUGUUGGGGAUAUGACUAUCCGGUAUGAACCGCCCAGGAGAGGCCGGGUCAUACCCCUGGCGGCUUAGCUAUGAAGAUGGUGGAUCAUACGAGCCUGUUAGCGGCCCAAGACCCAAUGGCGACUUGAGGCCCAAGAGGAUGAACUGCCAUGUAUGUAUAACUUGUAUUAUAAGGUAAGUGUAUUCAGUCACCGGGCCGGACACGUUGUGUAUGAGCUGGCCGGGACUCUGUAGGCCGCCAGGCGUCAACCUGUGUAUAUAAAGGGAUGACCCGGUGGCGGCUUAAGAAAAGAAACAAGAGCUUGAGAACCAGGUCAAGCGUAUUCGCUUCCUAGUGAUCGAAACCCAAACAAUACAAUCCCAAACUGGAGUAGGCCUUUACCUUCACCGCAAGGGGCCGAACCAGUUGUGAUGGCUCCACAACUAAGUCCUUCUGUUAGGACAUCUGUCGUGACAAUUCCACGACAGGUAAUGAGGUACUUCCUCAUGUCAACGAUCCGCCUGUGCAUCUCGUAGCAUGUGUACAUUCUCUUGGUCGCGAACCUGAGGUGAGGUUCAUCCAGUUGCCGCAUCCAGGGCCCGUGCUAGGAUACGGGAGUUGUUCUCUAGGCAUCCUAUUUCAUCUUUUCGUAGUAGGGGUCGAUGAUGGCCGAGGCGAGUUCAACCAAGGAGUCCUUCUUCGUGCUACCCCAGACCCUGUAGUGGUCAUGGAUUUUGACAAGGUUCUUGCAGGCCAAGCCCAUAACCCUGAGUGCUUUUACAUCGUCGAUGGUUUCCACCGUGGCGAACUUGUAGUCAGUGCUGUUGACAAACCUGUUGAAAUGGUCGCAAGGCUCUGUGGCCAUCCAGUAGUGGUAGUUGAGGACAUGAUGGCGCACACACAACUUGGCAACAGCAACCUUCUGAUCUAUGUCGGGAUGACCGGCAGUGUACUGGAGGUCGAUGCCGACCACCUUGUACUUGUCUCGAGAAAGCAACUACUCAACAAUGUUGAUGGAGUCGUCCACCACGGCCGUGUCAAUGGUGUACACCACCGAGAGAUACGUCUUCCUCGCGUGGGUCUCCACUUUAUGCUCACCGAAGUCGAUUGGAGCACUGCUAGACAUCCCCUCUCUAUGUGUCAUCAUGGGUGUGCUUGUUGUCUUGUGAGACGCGGUCGAAAGGUUGAAGAGACUAAGGUUAUAAUGGCUGUGAUAAUUAAAGGGGAAGCCGAACGGCCAGGAAUAUCGGCAGGCCCUGAUGGCAGUUCUAAUUUGCAGCGCGUAACUCCAUCAUGCCACACGUAACUGCAUCGCGUGGCAACGCGCGCAGUGCAACCACAUGCAUAUGGGGCCCCAACGUGAUUGUGUGCAUGCCCAAACGCUGGCAGAGCACGCGCGGAGGGACGCGAGCAACAUAUAUAUAUAGCAAUUGAACACGCAAGGAAAAGCUUUCGACAAGCCGAGUGCGCCGACAGACGCGAGCAGAGCGUGCCAACGGAUGCGAGCAGAGCGCGCCGCGGCGCCUAACGGCAAGUAUAGCACGCUAUGGCGCCUAACAGCGAGCACAUUGAUACGUGGAAAAUAAGAUGAAUUGUGAGAGCGAUGUCGGAGACAUCAAGCACGAAUCAGAUUAGAGUUGCGUGUGCGAUACGUGGCAUAUAGUUGAUCCAUCUGAGCUGUUCGUGAUGGAAUAUGCCGUGUGUGUUGCGGGAAAACGCUUGCUUGUAUAUAACCUUAAAUUUAAGCAAAAAAGUGUUAAUGCAUGUUACAAAAAUAGCAUAACUAGAAACUAUGUUCAAAUACGAAUCCAACGAUAUAAUCUUUGGCGACAUGCAUUCGUAUUUUAUUAGUUAAAUCCUACUUAUAAACCAGUACGGGGUAUAGUAGGUAAUUAAAUCGCAAACGUUUUUUCGUAUUAACCAUAUGUGUACGUGUCCUUUCGUCCUCCUCUCGCACGUCUUGUUACCCGCUGCCGCAGACGGCUUACAACGCAAGCUUGCGCAACACGCGAGGGCGUUCUUUUGGCCAAACGGUGGCGCCAAUUGUGAGCCCGUCCCCGCGCAACCUCGCAGCUUCGCACCCAAGAUUCCCGUCCGACUCGGUGAAAUCCCCCCAAAUCCCAAUGCUUACUGGCCUGCUAUAUAAACCCUCACGACCAGCAAGUCAUGCGUCGCAUUUUCCCCUCCCUCCCUGUAGCUUAUCUCGUCUUCUUCUCCCACAAUCGCCAAUGGCACCAGUCCGUCGUUGUUGCUCAGCCACUCCGCCGUCAUCAGAGGACAGCUCUAGCUGGGAGGCUACACCGCGGAGGCGGCGCAGUCCCCGGUGUAGUGUAGUGCGUGUGGCGUCCCUGUUGGGUGUGCACGGAACACCCACCACAUGCUCCGCCGCCACUGCCCAUCGACAGCUAUUAUCGGCCGCCGUUGCCGCCACACCACGUAGAAAGCCAGGGCCAUCGCCCGUUCCGCCGCCGCGGCCCGAAGGCGGGAUGUGGCCGUCAUGGCCGCCUCCCCACUGCCAGCGAUCACCCGUUCCACCACCGCGGCCCGAAGGCGGGAGGUGGCCGUCAUGUCCGCCAUCCCAUCGUCGUCCGCCAGCUCAUCGUCGACCACCGGGAUCAUCACCCGCUCCACCACCGCUGUCCAAAGGAGGAAGGCGGAGGUUGAGGCCCGCACAUGCGUCAGCGACGUUGCGCGCUACAUCGAGUUCGUGCAGGAGGAGGAGGAGCGCCUCGUCGAGCAUGCAAAGAGCCUUACCACAAUCGUGGCCGCCACACGCUGACGCAGAGGCGAGGAAUCAGGAGAUCUACGAGCAGUUCAGCUGCUUCGAGAGGGGUCGUCUGGAGCGGCAGUGGGCAUUCGAGUUGGCGAGCAUCGCUGAAUGUGCAGCAGCGGCAGUCACCGUAUUGCAGUUUUCCAGCUCGUCAGUAGGCUCCUCCUCCUCUGCCUCUUACUAAGCGCGCUCAGCAAAGGAGAGGCUACCGGAAGUAGCACAAAGCCCCUCCGUAGUAGUAGUAUUUAGGGGCUAGUUUGUUCAGUUACUUGACUAUAGAUGUGGUGGAACAGUACAACGUACUUAAAAUUAGCUAGUAUAUAUAGUUGAACUAGCUAUUUCAGUACGUGGUCGGCAACAGUUGGGGAAAAGUUUGGUUUGUUAAGCUAUCGAGUUGAACUGUUUGUAUAAAUUAAGAACGACUGCUUAAUCUAUGAAUGAAAUCUAUGAUUAAUUACUGAAUUUUAGUUGCAAAAAUUAGAUAAUUCUAGUGAUUUUUAGCCGCAUAUUUUGACAAAAUCGCAGUGUUACAAGGAUUGACAAAUGGCAAUGUUACUAGAUCACCAAAUGUCAAUCUUUCCGACUUGACAAAUGGCAACAUACCUGAUACGCCUCCAACGUAUCUAUAAUUUUUGAUUGCUCCAUGCUAUAUUAUCUACAGUUUUGGACAAUAUUGGGCUUUAUUAUCCACUUUUAUAUUAUUUUUGGGACUAACCUAUUAACCGGAGGCCUAGCCCAGAAUUGUUGUUUUUUGCCUGUUUUAGGGUUUCGAAGAAAAGGAAUAUCAAACGGAGUCCAAACGGAAUGAAACCUUCGGGAACGUGAUUUUCUCAACGAACAAGACUCGGGAGACUUGGACCCUCCGUCAAGAAAGAAAAGAGGAGGCCACGAGGUAGGGGGCGCGCCUGCCUAUCCCAGGCGCGCCCUCCACCCUCGUGGGCCCCAUGUUGCUCCACCGACGUACUCCCUCCUCCUAUAUAUAUCCACGUACCCCCAAACGAUCAAAAACAGAGCCAAAACCCUAAUUCCACCGCCAUAACUUUCUGUAUCCACGAGAUCUCAUCUUGGGGCCUGUUCCGGAGCUCCACCAGAGGGGGCAUCGAUCACGGAGGGCUUCUACAUCAACACCAUAGCCCCUCCGAUGAAGUGUGAGUAGUUUACCUCAGACCUACGGGUCCAUAGUUAGUAGCUAGAUGGCUUCUUCUCUCUUUUUGGAUCUCAAUACAAUGUUCUCCCCCUCUCUUGUGGAGAACUAUUCGAUGUAAUCUUCUUUUUGCGGUGUGUUUGUUGAGAUCGAUGAAUUGUGGGUUUAUGAUCAAGUCUAUCUAUGAAAAAUAUUUGAAUCUUCUCUGAAUUCUUUUAUGUAUGAUUAGUUAUCUUUGCAAGUCACUUCGAAUUAUCAGUUUGGUUUGGCCUACUAGAUUGAUCUUUCUUGCAAUGGGAGACGUGCUUAGCUUUGGGUUCAAUCUUGCGGUGUCCUUUCCCAGUGAUAGUAGGGGCAUCAAGGCACGUAUUGUAUUGUUGCCAUCGAAGAUAACAAGAUGGGGUUUUCUUCAUAUUGCAUGAGUCUAUCCCUCUACAUCAUGUCAUCUUGCUUAAGGUGUUACUCUGUUUUUAACUUAAUACUCUAGAUGCAUGCUGGAUAGCGGUCGGUGAGUAGAGUAAUAGUAGUAGAUGCAGGCAGGAGUCGGUCUACUUCUCUCGGACGUGAUGCCUAUAUACAUGAUCAUACCUAGAUAUUCUCAUAACUAUGCUCAAUUCUGUCAAUUGCUCAACAGUAAUUUGUUCACCCACUGUAGAAUACUUAUGCUCUCGAGAGAAGCCACUAGUGAAACCUAUGGCCCCCAGGUCUAUCUUUAUCAUAUUGAUCUCCUAUUACUUAGUUAUUUCCUUUGCUAUUUACUUUGCCUUUAUUUUACGUUGCAUCUUUUAUCACAAAAAUACCAAAAAUAUGAUCUUAUCAUAUCUAUCAGAUCUCACUCUCGUAAGUGGCCUUAUAGGGAUAGACAACCCCUAUUUGCGUUGGUUGCGAGGAUUUAUUUGUUUUGUGCAGGUACGAGGGACUCACGCGUAGCCUCCUACUGGAUUGAUACCUUGGUUCUCAAAAACUGAGGGAAAUACUUACGCUACUUUGCUGCAUCAUCCCUUCCUCUUUGGGGAAAACCAACGCAGUGCUCAAGAGGUAGCAAGAAGGAUUUCUCGUGCCGUUGGCGGGGAGGUCUAUGCAAAAGUCAACAUACCAAGUACCCAUCACAUACCCUUACCUCCUGCAUUACAUUAUUUUCCAUUUGCCUCUCGUUUUCCUCUCCCCCACUUCACCCUUGUCGUUUUAUUUGCCCUCUCUCUUUCUCUAUUUGCCUCUUUUUGCCCGCUUGCUUUUUGUUUGCUUGUGUGUUAGUUUGCUUGCUUGUCACGAUGGCUCUAACUAAAUUUGGUGACCUUCACCUUAAAAGAUUAGAAGAGAUCGAAAGCAAUGUCAGGAGUUUCAUGGUCUUGCAAUUUAAACAUAAUAGUUUCUUCAGAAACGAGCUUAAAGAACAGAAAAGUUUUAUGAGUUUUAUGAAUAAAUAGCUUGAUGAUAUGUCUAAAGAAUUCGAUGGUUUAAGAUCCCAAAUUGCUCAUCUUGAGAAAUUAACUACUGAAAUUUGGGAUAUGCAGGCUACCUUAGUUAAUAAGAUGGCCGCUACACCGGAUUGCUAUGAAAAUAAAGAUGAAGAUCUAAAUGUUAUUGAUGUGUCCCCUAUUAAAUCUUUGUUUUGUAAUAUGAAUCUUGAUAAUGAUGGGACUGAAUAUGAUCCACCUUUACCUAGAAGGUGUUCUAAGAAUUCAUAAUUUGUUUAUCUUGAUGCUAAAUUUGAUAAAAGUGGGAUUGAAGAAAUUAAAACCCUAUAUGUUGCUAAACCCACUAUUAUGGAUUUCAAGUAAUUUAACUAUGAAAAUUGCUCUUUGAUUGAUUGUAUUUCCUUGUUGCAAUCCGUGCUAAAUUCUCCUCACGCUUAUAGUCAAAAUAAAGCGUUUACUAAACAUAUCGUUGAUGCCUUGAUGCAAUCUUAUGAAGAAAAACUUGAAUUGGAAGUUUCUAUCCCUAGAAAACUUUAUGAUGAGUGGGAAACAACUAUUAAAAUUAAAAUUAAAGAUCAUGAAUGCUAUGCUAUAUGUGAUUUGGGUGCUAGUGUUUCCACGAUUCCAAAGACUUUGUGUGAUUUGUUAGGUUUCCGUGAUUUUGAUGAUUACUCUCUAAACUUGCACCUUGCGGAUUCCACUAUUAAGAAACCUAUGGGAAGAAUUAAUGAUUUUCUUAUUGUUCCAAAUAGGAAUUAUGUGCCCGUAGAUUUUAUUGUUCUUGACAUAGAUUGCAAUCCUUCAUGUCCCAUUAUUCUUGGUAGACCUUUCCUUAGAACGAUUGGUGCAAUUAUUGAUAUGAAGGAAGGAAAUAUUAGAUUCCAAUUUCCAAUAAGGAAAGGCAUGGAACACUUUCAGAGAAAGAAAAUUAAAUUACCUUAUGAAUCUAUUAUGAGAGCCACUUAUGGAUUGCCUACCAAAGAUGGCAAUACCUAGAUCUAUUCUUGCUUGUUAUGCCUAGCUAGGGGCGUUAAACGAUAGCGCUUGUUGGGAGGCAAACCAAUUUUAUUUUUAUUCCUUGCUUUUUGCUCAUGUUUAGUAAUAAAUAAUUUAUCUAGUCUCUGUUUUGGUUGUGUUUUUGUGUUUAAUUAGUGUUUGUGCCAAGUAGAACCGUUGGGAAGACCUGGGGAAAGUCUUGUUGAACUUGCUGUAAAAAACAGAAACUUUAGCGCUCACGAGAACUGCUGUCAUUUUUAUUUGGAAAGUGAUACUUAGUUAAUUAUUUUUGAAGAUGAUUAAUAGAUAAAUUACUCACGUCCAGAAAUUUAUUUUAGAAUUUUUGGGGUUCCAGAUUUUGCGCUAGCUACAGAUUACUACAGACUGUUCUGUUUUUGACAGAUUUUAUUUUUCGUGUGUUGUUUGCUUAUUUUGAUGAAUCUAUGGCUAGUAAAAUAGUUUAUAAACCAUAGAGAAGUUGGAAUACAGUAGGUAUAACACCAAUAUUAAUAAAUAAUGAGUUCAUUACAGUACCUUGAAGUGGUCUUUUAUUUUCUUUCGCUAAUGGAGCUCACAAGAUUUUCUACUUUAAGUUUUAUGUUGUGAAGUUUUCAUGUUUUGGGUAAAGAUUUGAUGGAUUAUGGAACAAGGAGUGGCAAGAGCCUAAGCUUGGGGAUGUCCAUGUAACCCCCAAGAUAAUCUAAGGACACCUAAAAGCCAAAGCUUGGGGAUGCCCCGGAAGGCAUCCCCUCUUUCUUCUACUUCUAUCGGUAACUUUACUUGGAGCUAUAUUUUUAUUCGCCACAUGAUAUGUGUUUUGCUUGGAGUGUCUUGUAUUAUUUGAGUCUUUGCUUUUUAGUUUACCACAAUCAUCCUUGCUGUACACACCUUUUGAGAGAGCUAUACAUGUUUUGGAAUUUGUUAGAAUACUCUAUGUGCUUUGCUUAUAUCUUUUGAGUUAUAUAAUUUUGCUCUAGUACUUCACUUAUAUCUUUUAGAGCACGGUGGUGGAUUUGUUUUAUAGAAACUAUUGAUCUCUCAUGCUUCACUUAGAUUAUUUUGAGAGUCUUAAUAGCAUGGUAAUUUGCUUAAAAUCCUAAUAUGCUAGGUAUUCAAAGUUAGUAAAAUUUUCUUAAGGGUGUUUUGAAUACUAAGAGAAGUUUGAUGCUUGAUGAUUGUUUUGAGAUAUGGAGGUAAUAAUAUCAAAGUCGUGCUAGUUGAGUAGUUGUGAAAUUGAGAAAUGCUUGUGUUGAAGUUUGCAAGUCCCAUAGCAUGCACGUAUGGUAAACGUUAUGCAACAAAUUUGAAACAUGAGGUGUUAUUUGAUUGUCUUCCUUAUGAGUGGCGGUCGGGGACGAGCGAUGGUCUUUUCCUACCAAUCUAUCCCCCUAGGAGCAUGCGCGUAGUACCGAGGUUUUUGAUGACUUGUAGAUUUUUGCAAAAAGUAUGUGAGUUCUUUAUCACUAAUGUUGAGUCCAUGGAUUAUACACACUCUCACGCUUCCAUCCUUUUUAGCCUCUUCGGUACCGUGCAUUGCCCUUUCUCACAUUGAGAGUUGGCGCAAACUUCGCGGUGCAUCCAAACCCCGUGAUAUGAUACGCUCUUUCACACAUAAACCUCCUUAUAUCUUCCUCAAAACAGCCACCAUACCUACCUAUUAUGGCAUUUCCAUAGCCAUUCCGAGAUAUAUUGCCAUGCAACUUUCCAUCAUUCUGUUCAUCAUGACACAUUCAUUAUUGUCAUAUUGCUUAGCAUGAUCAUGUAGUUGACAUAGUAUUUGUGGAAAAGCCACCGUUCAUAAUUCUUUCAUACAUGUCACUCUUGGUCCAUUGCAUAUCCCGGUACACCGCCGGAGGCAUUCAUAUAGAGUCAUCUUUGUUCUAGUAUCGAGUUGUAAUCAUUGAGUUGUAAAUAAAUAGAAGUGUGAUGAUCAUCAUUUUCUAGAGCAUUGUCCCAAGUGAGGAAUAAAUAAAUAAAGGAAAGAGAAAGGCCAUAAAAAAGAGAAAAAUGAGAGAAAAUGAGAGAAUGGACAAUGUUACUAUCAUUUGCCACACUUGUGCUUCAAAGUAGCACCGUAAUCUUCAUGAUAGAGAGUCUCUUGUUUUGUCACUUUCAUAUACUAGUGGGAUUUCAUUAUAGAACUUGGCUUGUAUAUUCCAACAAUGGGCCUCCUCAGGUGCCCUAGGUCUUCAUGCGCAAGCAAGUUGGAUGCGCACCCACUAGUUUCUUUUGUUGAGCUUUCAUACAUUUAUAGCUCUAGUGCAUCCGUUGCAUGGCAAUCCCUACUCCUUGCAUUAACAUCAAUCGGUGGGCAUCUCCAUAGCCCAUUGAUUAGCCUCGUUGAUGUGAGACUUUCUCCUUUUUUGUCUUCUCCACAUAACCCCCCUCAUUAUAUUCUAUUCCACCUAUAGUGCUAUGUCCAUGGCUCGCGCUCAUAUAUUGCGUGAAAGUUUAUAGGUUUGAGAUUACUAAAGUAUGAAACAAUUGCUUGGAUUGUCAUCGGGGUUGUGCAUGAUGAGAGCAUUCUUGUGUGAUGAAAAUGAAAUAUGACUAAACUAUAUGAUUUUGUAGGGAUGAACUUUCUUUGGCCAUGUUAUUUUGAGAAGACAUAAUUGCUUAGUUAGUAUGCUUGAAGUAUUAUUAUUUUUAUGUCAAUAUGAAUUUUUGUCUUGAAUCUUUCAGAUCUGAAUAUUCAUACCACAAUUAAGAAGAAUUACAUUAAAAUUAUGCCAAGUAGCACUCUGCAUCAAAAAUUCUGUUUUUAUCAUUUACCUACUCGAGGACAAGCAGGAAUUAAGCUUGGGGAUGCUUGAUAGGUCUCCAAUGUAUCUAUAAUUUUUAAUUGCUCCAUGCUAUAUUAUCUAUUGUUUUGGACAAUAUUGGGAUUUAUUAUCCACUUUUAUUUUAUUUUUGGGACUAGCCUAUUAACCGGAGGCCCAGCCCAGAAUUGAUGUUUUUGCCUGUUUUAGGGUUUCGAAGAAAAGGAAUAUCAAACGGAGUCCAAACGGAAUGAAACCUUCGGGAACGUGAUUUUCUCAACGAACAAGACCCGGGAGACUUGGACCCUACGUCAAGAAAGAAAAGAGGAGGCCACGAGGUAGGGGGCGCGCCUGCCUACCCCAGGCAUGCCCUCCACCCUUGUGGGCCCCCUAUUGCUCCACCGACGUACUCCUUCCUCCUAUAUAUAUCCACGUACCCCCAAACGAUCAAAAACGGAUCCAAAACCUUAAUUCCACCACCGUAACUUUCUGUAUCCACGAGAUCCCAUCUUGGGGCCUGUUUCGGAGCUCCAUCGAAGGGGGCAUCGAUCACGGAGGGCUUCUAAAUCAACACCAUAGCCCCUCCGAUGAAGUGUGAGUAGUUUAGCUUAGACCUAUGGGACCAUAGUUAGUAGCUAGAUGGCUUCUUCUCUCUUUUUGGAUCUCAAUAAAAUGUUCUCCCCCUCUCUUGUGGAGAACUAUUUGAUGUAAUCUUCUUUUUGCGGUGUGUUUGUUGAGACUGAUGAAUUGUGGGUUUAUGAUCAAGUCUAUCUAUGAACAAUAAUUUAAUCUUCUCUGAAUUCUUUUAUGUUUGAUUGGUUAUCUUUGCAAGUCUCUUCGAAUUAUCAGUUUAGUUUGGCCUACUAGAUUGAUCUUUCUUGCAAUGGGAGAAGUGCUUUGGGUUCAAUCUUGCGGUGUCCUUUCCUAGUGACAGUAGGGGCAGUAAGGCACGUAUUGUAUUGUUGCCAUCGAAGAUAACAAGAUGGGGUUUUCUUCAUAUUGCAUGAGUCUAUCCCUCUACAUCAUGUCAUCUUGCUUAAGGCGUUACUCUGUUUUUAACUUAAUACUCUAGAUGCAAGCUGGAUAGCAGUCGAUGAGUGGAGUAAUAGUAGUAGAUGCAGGCAGGAGUCGGUCUACUUGUCUCGGACGUGAUGCCUAUAUACAUGAUCAUAUCUAGAUAUUCUCAUAACUAUGCUCAAUUCUGUCAAUUGCUCAACAAUAAUUUGUUCACCCACCGUAGAAUACUUAUGCUCUCGAGAGAAGCCACUAGUGAAACCUAUGGCCCCCGGGUCUAUCUUUAUCAUAUUGAUCUCCUAUUACUUAGGUAUUUCCUUUGCUAUUUACUUUUCCUUUAUUUUACAUUGCAUCUUUUAUCACAAAAAUACCAAAAAAUAUUAUCUUAUCAUAUCUAUCAGAUCUCACUCUCGUAAGUGGCCUUAUAGGGAUUGACAACCCCUAUUUGCGUUGGUUGUGAGGAUUUAUUUGUUUUGUGCAGGUACGAGGGACUCGCGCGUAGCCUCCUACUAGAUUGAUACCUUGGUUCUCAAAACUGAGGGAAAUACUUACGCUACCUUGCUGCAUCAUCCCUUCCUUUUCGGGGAAAACCAAUGCAGUGCUCAAGAGGUAGCAAUACCCAAUAUAACAGAUGCAAAUCUUACCAAAUUGUUUGUACAUGGUUGCACACUGGUCAUCCAAAACAACCGUUUGCGUUGAAGGGAUGCACAAAUCCUGUUCUACGAAUUUUGCCUCGACUUAAGGGGGAAGACCAUAGCUCUCACUUUGCAUACGGGUGUUCUAUCUAAAACGUUUGCAAUCAAGAGCUUCACAAAUCCUGCUCGGCACAUUUUCCCUUGGCUUCCUAGGGAAGUUGUCGGUUUGCGUACGGGUGUUCUAACUAAAACGUUUGCGAUGAGUGUUUAUAUUUAAAAACCGUAUUAAGCUAUGGCUUGGGCGCCAUUAAUGGAGAGGAUGCGAGCAAGGAGGGCGGCCAUGGAAGUCAAAGGGCUCGCUUCCCGGUGAGCCUGCGCGGCGUAUAGCUCGCACGCUUCCCAGUGAGCCUCCGCAUUGGAGUACAGCUCGCACGCCUCCCGUUUAAUGAAGCACUCAAGCACCUAUCCGCACGGCACCUCCUAGCCAUUAAAAGAGUGAGGCGUGGCGUCAUGUGGAUGGUCAACAAAAUGGACACAAUUUAAAUUAUACAAAAUGGUUGAGAUGUUAUAGUGGCAGCUAUUUUUUAAAAUGCCUUUGUUGGAUGUUAUUUGAGUGCACCACACAAAAAAAUAUCAUAGCAUGUCAGGUGCCAUUCCAUGAUAGCAUGUCAAUUUUCAUGAAUUUCAGACGAGUUUUGGAUUUAGUAGAAUUCAAAAACAAAGUAUCUCAAUGUUUUGUCGGCAAUCAACGGUGCACUGGUGUUUGAAAUUCAUUCCCAUUUCUUGCAUGGGACCUAAGCAUGCACCGAAGGACACAGAUUUGAUUUUUCAACCAAUUUAUAUGCACUGGAUCAUGUGCAUGUAGUUCAAAUUUGAAUUAUGCACAUAAAAUGCCUAGAAAACCCAGUUAAUGUAUAAAAAUGUCCAAACGAACCCUAAAAAAUUCCAAAAUUAAACACAACACUCCUGUUGUUCUAUGUUGACACUAGAAAAUUUUUGAAAGCAAUAAGAGGCAAUGGAUAUCGUUUCGUCCCCAAAGGUGGCACGUUCCCUACAGAAACCAUCAUGCUUGUUGUAAGAAGCUCUGGUUUGUAUGAAGCUUAUACACAAACCUGCCACAAAUGGGACAAAUUUUUUACCACAGCAUGUUGAUGCCGCUCCAUGAUAGCACGCCAAGUUUCAUGAAUUUCAGACGAGUUUUGGAUUUACUAGAAUUUAAAAACAAAGUAUCUGAACAUUUUGUCGGCAAUCAACAGUGUCCUGGUGUUUGCAAUUCAUUCCCAUUUCUUGCAUGGGACCUAAGCAUGCACCGAAGGACACAUAUUUCAUUUUUCAACCAAUUUAUAUGCACUGGAGCAUGUGCAUGUAGUUCAAAUUUGAAUUAUGCACCUGAAAUGCCUAGAAAACCUAGUUAAUGUAUAAAAAACGUUCAAACGAACCAUAAAUCAUUCCAAUUUUUUUGACGACACACCUAUAGUUGCAUGUUCACUACAGAUAAAAGUUCUAGAAAUUCAAACACCAUCCUAUUCAGUGGUGACCCCAUUAUGUAAUUUAAAUCAAGAUGAGAAACCAAGUAGAUCGCACAUAGUUUAUUAUCACCAACCGUGUGUGAUGCAGCACAAAAUAUCUUGGAGCACCGUCCGAGUGUCAAGCACACUAGCCCACUCCUCAAAUAUCAUUUCACUGUUCAAUCAUCACCGGUGAAAUAUGGGGACGUGGACCCGCGUCGUGAGGGCAACUUCGGCGGCCCACUCCGGCAAGAGCGCGGCCACAGCCGCCAGGCGCGUGCUAACAAGCUUCGUGAGGGCGACCGCAAUCUGCGUCCUGGCGACCAAGGCAGCCCAAACUGCCGCUAUUGCUUCUUAGGCGGCGGCAACAACAUCUUCCUCGGGGAUAGCAACUGGCGAGAGUGGCACAGUAGCUGUUCGUUCCGUAGCGGCAGCCUAAGCAUUGAUGGAGGCCAUCCACGACCAUGUCGAGGCCGUCCACGCCUAGCUCAUGGCGGUCACCACACAAAUCGAAUGAAGCUUCUCCGACAACGGUCAGCAACCCACGGCGGAAGAGCCCGCCAAAACCCAGAUCGCGGCUGCCCACGCCCAGCUCAUGGCGGCCUAUUGCAAAGAUAUGGCGGACACAGAUGGCGAGAUGCUUGCCGAGUAUGGUGCGAUUGAUGCCAUGGAGCCCCUUCCCCAGGAGACCGUCGGGUGCGAGCUGGACAUGGAGGCGGCGGUGGAGAUCGACGAGCACCAGUUGUAGUAGUACUCUUUGUUUUGUUUAAUUAAUAGCGCCGGUCUUUAAUUUGUUAGAGUAAUGUUUAGGCCAGCUAGCUCUGUUUAAUUGUUGAACUUGCUUGAUUAAUAAGUGUGGGUGUGUUGUAGUCUCCUUUGUGUGCCCAAAUUAUGCAAUGACGUGGAUGACCACUGUAACUAGGGAAAUUCGAACCAAAAUUUUUGAUGUUCAAACUCAUCACACACGGGUUAAGCUAUCUGAAUUGUUUGUGAUGUUCACAUAUCGUACACAGUUCUGAAUAAGGGACCAUGUCUGAUGACACUUUGCGCGCCAGUUUUUUUCGCUGAAGCGAUUCCAAAUUUUCGGUUUCCACAGAAAUAUCUACCUCCCCGCUCCCUCCCCCUUACCAAAAGCCACAUUUCCCAUGUUUCCGCCUUCCUUUCCAAGUUGAAACGUUCACUCCUUGCUUGCAACGCCGCCUCCUCGCCGGCGAACCUCCUUCAUGCUGCUCGGCCUCGUCUAUCCAGGCAGGUAAUCCACACCUGACCCCCAUUCUCCUCCUCUUUCCACAUCCCACAUGCCCCGACCGCCGGAACGACACCUUCCACCCAAAUCACUGACCCCUCCACCAAAUAAGCGCCGCCCUAAGCCAUGGUGCGCACAGUAUAGCCAGGAUCUCAAGGAGCAUUUGGCAGCGGAGAAGCAAAUCGCGGCCGCAUGCGCGGAUGAGGUCGUGAUGGCUGUCAUUCGUGUCGACCCCCAGAUCUUGGAGGAGCACCUCGCCAUCGAGGUUACCAUCGACGCCUCGCGCGCCGACAACGCGACGCGGUUGGCUGUUUGGUUCAAUUCUGCAAUGCGAUGUUCAAUUGUUGUGGGUGCAUUCUGUUAUUGUAUACCAUGUGAGAAAUAAAUCGAAUUUGGCUGUACUAAAUACAUGAGAAACAAAUACAAUUGUUAUAUUUCCAAGUUGUUAAGCAUGCUUGGUUGUGUUAACUAUCUGAUCUUCUAUUAGAAGUAUGUUAUAUUGUGUAAUGUGGUGCUCAGUUAACAUUUGGUUCAUUUGUUGUGGUGUUUAGUUAACUGUUUGGUUCAAUUCUGCAAUGUGAGGUUCAAUUAUUGUGGGUGCAUUCUGAUAUUGUAUACCAUGUGAGGAACAAAUUGGAUUUGGUUGUACUAAAUACACGAGAAACAAAUACAAUUGCUAUAUUUCCAAGUUGUUAAGCAUGCUUGGUUUGGUUAACUGUCUGAUCUUCUAUUAAGAGUAUGUUAUAUUGUGCAAUGUGGUGCCCAGUUAAUGUUGGUUCAUUUGUUGUGGUGUUUAGUUAACUGCUUGGUUCAAUUCUGCAAUGCGAUAUCUAAUUGUCAUGGGUAGAAUAUUGUAUUGUUGUGCAUGUGAGGAAUAAAUCGAAUUUGGCUGCACUUAAUACAUGAGAAACAUAUACAAGUGUUGUAUUUCCUAGUUCUUAAUCAUGCUUGGUUUGGAUAAAUGGGUUUUCCAUGUGGCUUGAAUUAAUCUGAUGAAUAUGCAAUGUGCUUAUUUUUCAUCAACAUAUUUUACUGAUAGCGUGUGAACCCUUACUUAACCUGAUGACUAACUACCUUAUAUGUGUUGCAGGGAAACAAUGGGAAGCACUAAGGUUUACAAUCGAGGUUAGCACGUGCAUGGUCCGUUGUCUAAUAGCACAUUAUUGUGCAAUUGCAGGAACCAUUUUAAUAUUUUGGUUUUUAACAAUUUGGUCUUGCACAUGUAGGUCCUGCUGUCAGAGGUUUUGACCCACUGUUCGACCCUUUUUGCAUAUGGGGAAAUGAGUUGUCCAUGAAUAUCAAUCAAAUCAAGAAACUCAGAAAGAUUGUUAGGAUAAACAAAUUAGCGACAAAAAACAACAAGAUCUUUGUCCGCACAAUGAAGAAGACAUCAGUUCACUACAAGAUGGUACUAACUAUUAUACCUUGCCUUUUUUAUUCCUUUGCCCCACUUCCAAUAUAGAGAAGAUAUUUAUUCACAUCCUUGUUUUCAGGCCUUUUCAAAGCAGUUCACUAAUGAUUACCUCUCAACCCACCUCUAUGGUCAGGAGGCGAGGAAGGUUUUCAUACAACACCCACUGUUCAAUAUUGAAGUGUUCCUGAAGAGGACGAAGGACAGACGGUCAAUCAUCCACAGGCACUGGCCUAAAGUUGCAAAGACCUUCAACAUCAAUGAAGGCUCAAUACUCGCCUUCCGCUUCAGCAGUUUUCCAGAUGAGAUGCAUAUGUCUAUAUACCAUCUAUGAUGCCAAUUUUGAAAGGUUCUACAUGUUGCAUGUGAAACUUGGUGCUGGUGCAGUUGUGUAAUGGGGUAGCUGAGUGCUGAAGCUAUAUGAUGUUGCACUCUGAUGUAUUUCAAUUAUGAAAAUGAAAUAUAUUGUACGCUUAAUAUGAAAUGUCAAUUAGAUUAAUAAAUGGAUUAUUAAUAAUAGGAUAAUUAGCCUGCUAAUUUGGUUUUUCUAUUGCAAACAGUUAUUGAGAAAACACCGUGUGUGACGCUUUCAAUAACACAAACAAUUUCUAGGAAUAAACCGUGUUAGAUUAAUGAACAAUCACACACGACAUCCUCUUGAAAACUGUUUGCGUUAGGCUACCCGUCACAAAUGUUUACCACAUAAAAACUGUGUGUGAUGGACACCCUUUGCCACAUAGUUUCUUCUAUGCACCGUGUGUGAUGCAUUCAAUAACGCAAAUAAUAAAAUUGUUAAUACCGUGUGCAAUGGAAACGCUAUCACAAACGAUUUAACGGGGAAAAUUGUGUGUGAUGUACCUACAAACAGAAACGUUUUCCUUGGAGCGACUGUGUGGGAUGUAUAUACGAACGGAAACGUUUAGCGGGGACUGACUGUGUGGGAUUUACGACCGGAAAUGAUUUCGCUUGUAUAAUUGUAUUUUUUGAGCACUACUGUAUGUAUAACCAUAUUUGGUCGCUCGUCGGUCGCACACGACCUCAUUUUGCUGAGCGUGUGUGCCAGGAGGGCAUAUCCCCGAUGGUUUCUGGGUCGUGUGGGAAGGACCCCCUAUCGCCCACACUCACUUGGUGACGGUGCCAAAUGUUGCCGCGGAAAGGGGUUAAAAACCGUUUGUAUAGCACCUCGAUGUACUAGUGAGAGGAGAUCAUCUUCUGUAGCCCCACUGCUUUCAAAGGGAAAAGGAAAGACAGAGUGCCAGUGGUUGAAUCUGAGGUAAGGAGAAGUGAAAGGUUGCGGCAGUUGCAUAAAGGAUUUAUAAAGAAAGCAUGUGAAGAUAGUAUAUGUAUGGCUUGUUCUGCUAAGCCCCUGUCUGUAGCACUAAAGUCAUUAAAAUUUUAAAUUCUUCUUAUUGCAAGGUGGAUCCAAAGGUAUGCACAAAGGAGAACCUUCUACAAAAGAAAGCUAAGAGAGGAGGAAAGCAGCCAGCAUGGAAAGACUAAAGCUUCUGAGAGAGAGAGUGAGACAUGGACCUAGUAGGAGGCCUCCUUUUGGGUGAUCUCAGCAGUUUAUGUAAUGAAGCUUUGAAUCAGCCCACUUUUGUAAUUGAAGAAUUUUAUGCUUUGCUUCCAUCUAAAAGACUUUGGAUGCAAUGGGUAUGUAAAAGUGAUGACUAUCUGCUAUGCUUUAAGUGCAAGAGUGUUGCUACAAAUCUUUGCUGCUUUGACUGUUUGAAUUGCUAUGAAUAAAUCCUGGAACAUAUUGAGUUGGAAUGUUAGAGGUAUAAACUAAAGUGAUAAGUGGCUAGCUAUUUCAAACAAAAUAGAUGAAGCUCAUAGCUCAGUAAUAUGUUUGCAAGAAACAAAAAUAGAAUCUUUUGAUAGCUCCUAUAUUAAGAAUUUUUGCCCCAGAAGGAUCAAUAAAUUUGAUUUCUUGCCUUCUGUGGGAGCUUCUGGUGGAUUGCUCAUUGCUUGGAAUGAUAAUAUGUUUCAAGGAGAAUGCUUGUUCAAAAAUGAAUUUUCAAUCUCUAUGAGGUUCAUCUCAGUUCACACUGGUGAUUCUUGGAUAUUAACAAACCUUUAUGGGCCAUGUGAUAAUGAAGGAAGACACAACUUCUUGUCCUGGUUCAAAAAUAUUCAAAUGCCUUUAGAAAGAUAUUGGAUAAUUACUGGGGAUUUCAACUACAUCAGAUAUCCAUCCAAUAGAAACAUGGGAACUGGAGACAUAAAUAAUAUGAUGCAAUUCAAUGAAGCAAUCAGUCAACUUGCCCUAGUAGAAAUUCCUUUGGAAGGUAGAAGUUACACUUGGAGCAAUAUGCAGCAAGCCCCUCUAUAGGAAAAAAAUUGAUUGGGUGUUCACUUCUGAGAAUUGGUCUUCAAAUUAUCCCAAUACUAUGGCUAUUCCCCUUUCCAAACCUGUUUCAGAUCAUUGCCCUUAUGUCAUCUCAAUUGGUACUAGCAUACCAAAGGCGCAAGUUUUCAGAUUUGAAAAACUUUUGGCUUCAACAUCAUGAUUUUAAAGAGACAGUUCAAGCUAAUUGGCAACAACCUCUACUGGCUAGUGGCGGUGCUAAAUUAAUCACUGCUAAGUUUAAAAGGCUCAGAAAAUGCCUUAAUUUGGAGCAAGAGCAUUUCAAAUUUAGCUGGCAGCAUUCAGGCAACCAACAAUGUGAUUUUGAUGUUGGACCUUUUUGAGGAGCACAGAUUGCUCGCUGAUAGUGAACACAAUGGAAGGGAAAUGCUUAGAGAACAUUUGUUAAAACUUUUGUCUUUUUAGAGGAUCUAUUGGAGACAAAGAGCAACAAUUAGAUGGGUUAAAAUUGGAGAUGAAAACUCUAAGUUCUUCCAGGAAAAGGCCACCAUUAAAUAUAGACACAACUUCAUUCAAACUUUGCAAAAUGAUAAGGGGGUUGAACAUUUAGAACAUGAUGCAAAGGCUGCUAUUCUUUGGGCAUCUUUUAAAGAAAGACUAGGACAGACUAGUAAUAUUGCAGAUCCCUUAAAUCUGAUCAGCCUCAUCACUAGAAUGGAUGGUUUGCAGGAACUUGAUGCUCCUUUUACAAAAAAAGAAAUUGAUGAUGUCAUUAAACAUCUCCCUUCAGACAAAGUGCCAGGUCCAGAUGGAUUCAAUGGUGAUUUCAUUAAAGCAUAUUGGAGCAUAAUUGCUGAAGAUUUUUGCAAAAUAGUUGAUGAUUUUUAUCAUGGAACUAUAUUUCUUCAAAGUAUUAAUGCUUCCUUUAUCACUUUAAUUCCCAAGAAGGACAAUCCAGUCAGAGCCAAUGAUUUCAGACCAAUUUCUCUUCUCAACUGCACAAUCAAAAUUAUAACAAAGUUAUUGGCAAACAGGUUGCAGACAGUUAUUCUUAAUAUUGUGCAUACCAACCAAUAUGGGUUCAUUAAGAGGAGAACAAUUCAUGAUUAUCUUGGGUGGGAUUUUGAAUAUUUACAUCAAUGGCAGCAGUUUACGAAACCAAUUGUGUUGCUAAAACUGGAUUUUGAAAAGGCAUUUGAUCUGCUUAAUCAUAAAGCAAUUAUAGAAAUACUGAGAGUAAGAGGAUAUGGAGAUAGAUGGUUAAAUUGGAUCACAAUGUUGUUGUCCUCGGGAACAUCAUCCGUUUUGCUAAAUGGAGUGCCAGGCAAGUUCUUUCAUUGCAAACAAGGAGUCAGGCAAGGAGCCCCGUUUCUCCUCUCCUUUUUGUUCUUGCAGCUGAUCUUCUUCAGUCAAUGCUUAAUGAGGCGAUGCACCAGAAUUUGAUUCAGGCACCUAUUGAUAGUCAAGCUUGCCCAGAUUUUCCUGUUAUCCAAUAUGCUGAUGAUAACAUCUUAGUGUUUCCUGCUGAUGCCAGACAAUUGUCCCAAGUUAAAAAUCUCAUUUUGCACUACACUGCCUUUACUGGGCUCAAGGUCAACUAUGAAAAAUCCUUCAUGGUACCAAUCAAUGUGGCUGAAGCUCAUAUCAGCAACUUGCUCAAUAUCAUGGGAUGCCAAUAAGAAAAUUUCCCCUUCACCUAUUUGGGCCUCCCGCUGGGCACAACUAAACCAAAAAUUGAAGAUUUCAAUCCAAUGAUGCAAAGAAUUGAGAGAAGGCUUACUGGUUUCUCUACCAUGCUCUCUUAUGAUGGAAGAUUGUUACUUAUCAAAUAUGUAUUUGUAGCAUUACCAAUCUUCUUCAUGUAUACUUUGGCACUACGCAUGGGGGUUAUUGAACAGAUCAAUAAAUACUUGAGGAACUUUCUAUGGAGGAAAUUUGGUAUGGAGGACAGAGGGACAGCCCUGAUUGCCUGGUCCAAAGUUUGUCAACCCAAAAAACAGGGAGGUCUUGGCAUACUAGAUAUAGCUCUUCAUAAUAAGGCCCUACUUAUGAAGAAUCUCAUCAAGUUUCUCAACAGAGAAAAUAUACCUUGGAUCAAUCUUGUCUGGGAGAAAUAUUAUCAUACAGAAUCACCAAGAGGAAAAGCGGAAGGGUCAUUCUGGUGGAAAUCUCAUAUUGCACUUUUAGACAGAUUUAAGCAAAUUAGCAAAUGCACAAUAGGAUGUGGCCAAGCUGUGUUGUUCUGGAAGGACAAAUGGCAUGACCAGGCUCUGCAAAUUACACUUCCACAUCUUCAUUCUUUUGCAGUAAAUGAGGAGCAAACAGUGCAAGAUUUUUUUGAUGAGCAUGAUUGGACUGGGCACUUUCAUCUGCCCUUAUCCAUGGAAGAGCAAUUCAAUCAGUUACAAGAUCUUGUUCCCAAUCUAUAUCAACACAAAAAGGAUAACUGGAGCAUUAUUGGGGCUGUUGGUAAGCCCACAACAAUUCACAUAUACAAUCAGAUGCUGGAGCACAAGGAAGAACACCCCAUUUUCAACAUCAUUUGGAGUAGCUCUAGUAGACUUAAACAUAAAUUCUUCUUCUAGUUAGUUGCACAUUGUAGAAUCAACACCAGGACUCUUACUCAGAAAAGGCAUGCACCUUGAUGACAUUUUCUACCCAAACUGUAAUCAACAGGAAGAGGUGACCAUCAUGCACUUACUUUGGGACUGUAACUUUGCUCAAGAGUGUUGGAACUCUCUGAUACCCAACAGGCAGCGAGGUACAUCAGUUUAUGAGGACACCACCCUGGCAAUAAGUCACUUACCAAAGCAGUUUGCAGUAGAGAUCAUCAUACCGGGAUGCUGGAACAUAUGGAUUCAGAGAAAUGGAAAAGUAUUCAGGUCAAUCCAGCAGUCUGUCCAAUCCUAGAGAUUUCACCUUAAGCAAGAUUUAAAGCUUCUCAGACACAAGAUUAAGCAUAAGUUUGAACUUAGAUUCACACAGUGGAUGGACCAUAACUUGUAAUGAUGAACUCCAUACCUAGAGUAGGCAUUGGCUAAUCCCUAGCCAAUCUUUUACCCCUUGGGGCUUGUACAUUAUUUAUUUUAUUAAUAUAUUUACCGUAGAACAUUUUAGAACAUUUGUUCUAUGGUGUUGGGUUCAAAAAAACAUUCUGUCACCCUUUCCCCGGUGCUUCUGAUUGUGACUAAUAGUACGAGCAUCUUUGGUCCUUCUCCUAAAACCGAGCUCUUCAAAAGAUCUCCCAAAACUGAACUCCUCAAAUUUAAGGAGUUAGAAAGUGUGCACGUCUAGCCCUUCACCUAAAAUUGAACUCACUAUAGUUUUUCUUUUACUAAUUUCUUCCAUCUUUUUUGCAUGCAAACUCCAUUACAACUACAUAUGCACGACAUAUCAUUGAGAACAUUGAUAUGUCUAAUGCAUUGCUUCAACAUUAUUUCAAAUUUAACUAUUUAAAUUCAAACACACCAUACAAUCCAAAUAAAGUAAUAAUUCGAAUAAAUAAAACAUGAUAAAAGUGCAGGAAUCAACCGUCAUGAAGUGCCCACAAGUGCUCAACAAGAUCAUUGUAGAGUUGAUGGUGAGUUUAUGGGUUCUCUAUCAUUCAAUGGGCUGCAAGAAACCUCUAGAUUAUGUUUGGUUGAUGCUUCGGUUCCACAAUUUCACCAUUGUAGAGGUAGCAAAAGUCCUCUGGCUCUCCUCUCCCAUACUCGAUGAUCAUGAUGUGCGAGAUAUUGCAUGUUUUCACGGUCUGUUGUAUUUGUGGGUUCCAAUACUCCACAGAUCAAUGAACAAUCAAAAGCGAGCUUGAAGCACACUAAGGCUCUCUCAAUGUACGCCCCGGGACACUAUAUAUACUGAUCUAGCACCUCGUUAUCAAAUGCAUAGUAUCGAUCCGAGGAUGCCCACCAAACACAGCGUGCACACCAUAUCCAUACAUGCAACAUGCGCACUAUGUGGAUGGAAAGACAAGUAUCAUAAAAAACACUAAAAGAACCGCAACAAUAUCUAUACAAUGACUGCAAGGAGUCAAAUUUAACAAAUGAUUACAUACGAGAGUCUUUCGACCAAGUCGUAGCUCUCACAACAUAAGCGACAAAUAAACCUUAGACACCUAAAUUUAACAAAUACUUUAAGAAGGCUUAAAGAAAAGCAAAUGAAAUCUAUAACCCUUCCAGAAGGACUGUAUGGGAUAACCAUAUCUAACGCCUUCCUUCACCACUAGAGAUCACCUGUUCCAAAUGCUACCAUCUGAUCUGCAGCAUCCGGAUAAAAAGAAUAAAUAAAGCAAGAUGAGUACUCAACUAUACUCGCAAGACAUACAUAAAAUCUAUGCUAAGUAUGCAUCAUUCUCAAAGAAGGGGUAUGUGGUGAGCGGUAGCAAGCACUAGUAUCCUAUAGAGGCAUGCUAUAAGAUAAUAAAGCAUAUAUGCAUAUGCAUCAUAUGUUCUAGCCACCACAUCAUAACACUACAUUGCACCCCCCUCGCAUCUCCCACGAGGAAGGAUCCCCAAAGACACUCACACCAAAUAUGGUUAUUAUUAGUUGAAGCUACUAUGAUCAGGUACACAAUCUUCAAGUCAUCCAUAACCGCGGACAGGGCUAUUCGAAUAGUAACCCUGCAGGGUGUACCAAUUUACCCUAACACGUGCCUAAUGUUCUUGAUGCCGGCCAAUAGGACGCUCGGAGUGUGCCGACAGAGAGAGUGUGGCCAUAUUACUUCCCCUAUGUUGCAAACAAGUUCAAGGAACCACCCAACUUAGUCGUACCUAAAUCAUGAGUUUGGCCAAGUUUUUCGAAACAGACCAAACAGUUGCAUGCACGACUAAGGUGGCUAUAGACCACAUGAUAACCACUCAGCAAAAGUGAUGUGUCCACACCAUCUAAAUGUAAGAUGUUUUGACACUUCAAUUUAAACUGCCAAAAUAUCUUAUAUUUAGAAACGACAGUAGUACAAUGCAACACGCCGCAUCGUUUACCUGGUUGCACACCAACACACACUACAAAUAAAAAGCCUGAGUAUGGGACCCCUGGGUACUCCUGGCCAUGGGCCGCCUGGCCCGAACAGCCCGGCCCGAAAAAGCCCGGCCCGACGCUGCUCUCGGGCCGGGCCUGGGCCUAGGUUUUGAGCCCGAAGACUAGGUCGGGCCGGGCCUGGGCCUGCUGUUUAUGCUAUUUACUGAAGAGGCCUGGCCCGAGGCCCGAGGCCCGACGUGUUUUUUGCUGUGAUGGGCCGGGCUCGGGCCUGAGUUUUCUGCCUCGGGCUUGGUCAGGCCCGGCCCGAAGCCCGGCCCGGCCCGGAGGAUGGCCAGGUCUACCCCUGGGCAUGUCUGAGGUAAUGGUACUAGGCCGAGAGGGGUCCCAUACCCCCCAACAGGGGGUUGAGUACGCUCAAUCUUGGAUCAAGAUAACAAGAACUUGGAUGCUAGUGUCAGCUCAAGUGGAACAAAAUCCUUUCUUACAUAUUAACAUAAUUAUGUUGGGAUGACAAUUUCAUUUAGCAAGCAAGGCAAAUCCGCCAUGUUUAGUUUUUUGUUAGGAUUUGCCAUUCUUAAUAAAGAAAAUUGACGUCCUUGUGACAACAUAAUUUGUACUCUAACAUUUUCUAUUACAGUGAGUUAUAAAAAAAACGUUUUCUUGCCAUGCUUAAAAAUUCUGACGUUCGCCGAUUAUCAAAGUCCAUUAGUUAUGGUCCAUAGCUAUCGAUUUGAAUCGACGGUGGCCUAUUGCGACCCUGACCAUACAUAUGAUUGGCCAGGCUUUCUAGACAAUUAACAUACAGUUUUGUUAAAGCACAUUUAGAUAUGCAACAAGUAUUGCACAUCUAAAUCCUAUGUCAUUAAUCUUACAUGAAGAUAUGUGUGGAUAUUUUCUUUUCCUUUUUUUUUGUUUAUAUUUGAUUGAAUCACUUAGAUGUGCUAUAGACAGACCACAUAAGCUAAUUUGUGACCAAUAAAUGCAUACCGGUACAUCUCAACAAAAUUCUAGAUAAACGCUGGCUCCUGCGAAACGCCAUCAAUGGAUCUCAUGCUAAACUGGAAUCGUAUAGAGCUCAUUGAUAUAUCCACGAUGGUACAAAGGUUAAUUGAAACAACGACUCAUGCGAGUCUUGUUCAAAUGAUCAAGCCGUAUCAAUAGAGUUUUCCAUGUGAAAUAUACUAUUUCCCCCAGCAGCAGUAGCUAAGUAGUAGUAGUAGCUAACACUGGCACUAAUUGAAUAGCAAGGCAAAUCACCGAGCAGAAGCCCACAUGUAAAAAGCAUAUGAU
This 57279-nucleotide long non-coding RNA is filed under the name Triticum aestivum (bread wheat). RNAcentral's name for it is "long non-coding RNA (TAES_LNC021381)". Lineage: Eukaryota; Viridiplantae; Streptophyta; Magnoliopsida; Poales; Poaceae. The record is from RNAcentral.